GUUUUUGAUUUGACCACCGAACCAAAUGAUGUAUUAUGAAAUUAAGAUCAUCCAAAAUACACCGACCGUCCCUAGAGCAAGUGUUAAAGGGUUUGAUAGUUGGUACUCGAGACCCAAGUUCGAAUCCUAAUUGAUUCAUAUUUCUAGCUAAGUUUAUUUCUAAAUGAAAUAAACGAAGGAAAUAACGUGCUACCUAUCUCUCUCUCUCUCAAAAAAAAAAAAAAAGAUCAUCCAAAAUAUUUGCACUGAGGAAUAUGUCCACAAUGUUAAGUUGUACAGCAAAAUUAGUUGUUAUAAAAUUUCUGCAAGUUCAGUCACAAUUGGUCUAAAAAUAUAAUAUAUCGGAUAAAAUUUAUUCAAUUUAAAAGUUUAAAUUUUAGAUUAAAUCUAACUGUAUAAGUUAAUUUUAUUAUUUUUUAUUUAUCAUUCAGCAAGAGGCUAUUCCAAAUAUGAAUUUUUAGUAAGUACGGAAAACUACCCUCCAUUGCAGUUUAACAAAAAAAAAAAAAUCUAAACAGCCAUUUGGAAAAUAUUCUACCACUGCUAAAUAUUUUUAAAUAUUAUUGAUGAAAACUAAAUUUCCAAUUAAUUAUGUACCCCACUGUUACUUAGAUCUAAUAAUAGGAAUAUUAAUAAUAAUAUAGUUUUUAAGUACUCUCCAAUCCCGAUAACUAAUUUAACUUCUUUAUGGAUUUCUUAAUUUAGAUCGUUAGUAGUUAACAAAGGUUUCUGAUCAUUAGAAUAUUGCAUGAAUCUGAACUUUUGUAGAUAAUCUCAACAUAGUUAACUAGUAACAAGAAUAUAAUAAGGUCUAAAGAAUCCUAAUUGCUUCUUAAGUGAAUGAUUAACUUAAAAUAAGAUAUCCCAACCAAGAAUCCAAGAUUCCUCUUGGGGAUAAUUAAGUGUAUUUUUUUAGUGAUUUUUUUAUGCCUAAUCUAAUGAUCAGGAAUGAAACAAGUCAUUCACAUGGUACAAAUCACACUGCACACUCACAUGAACUAGUAUUAUAAUGGGUAGCUAACUCAUUGCUUCAAUACCACAAGUAACUAUCAAAUAUUUGUUUAUUGCUAAAAAUAUCUGCAGUAGUCUUUUUAGCUGCUUGUGCAUAGCCCUGUAGUUGUCUUCAAGUGUAUUAAUUAAUUUUAAGGGAUAAUUGCCUAUAUACCCUUCAAAAUUUCAAAAAUAUCUUUUUUUUUUUUUUUCUUUCCAAUAUAUCCCUCAUAUAUUCCUCCAUUAUUUCAAAAUAUCUCUACAAUUACCAUCCGUUAAGUUAACUUAAGUUAAAUGUGAAUUAAAUAUCUACCACAGUUUAAAAAAAUUAAAAUGCAAAUUUUGCUCUUAACUUAAAGGCAAAUAAAAAAUAUUGGUGACGGUAGAUGGGUACAUUUGAAAAGACCAAAAGUCAAAAUAUUUUUUGUGCCCCUGACUUAAUGGCAAAUAAAAAAAUCGAUGAUGAUGGAAGGGUAUAUUUGAAAGGACAAAAUAGUAAUUUUAUACAGAUAACAGAGUUCAUUAACAUAUUUUAACUCUAGGGGUAUAUUUGAAAUAAAUUAGAAUGUAAAAAAAGUAUUUUUAAUAUUAGCCUUUCCAAAAAAGUAAAUCAGAAAGUCGAGAACUUUUUCAGGAAUAUAUAAGCAAUUGCCCCUAAUUUUAAACUACUUGUUUUAAGAUUCAAGAAGCACCGUUUUAGUCAAUUUACAGUAAUUUUUUUAUUGAUCCGGAGAAUAAGAAAUUUUUGAGUAUUACUAAAUGUGGUCGCCUAUCUGAAAGCAAAUUUUAUGUCAAUUGCUGACUUGAUUGGCUGUUAUAUUACCAUCAAUAAUUGAGUUGAUUUUGAUUAAAAUAAUAGAAUAAACUGGUUUUAUGUAGAUGAAGAUCCGAUCUAGUAGUAAAUUUAUGUCUUAUCUCCCACUCUCUAGAUUUGUUUUCGUUUGUUUUAAACCCCUUUAAUUUCUUUUUUCCUUUCCACCAGAUGUAUCAUUUAGUUUGCUCUUCAUAGCAUGAUAUUUUUACUAAAUUAAAAUAAAUAUUUUAAACUAGUUGAAAUGUUGGAUGGAGGGUAAUGGACAUUUACUGCUCAAAUAAAAAAAUUAAUAUGAAAAUAAAACCAAAUAAACAUUAUCCUCACAAAUUCACGUUAGAGCUAUACUCUUUUCCUGUUUUUAAAAAAAAAGUGUAAUUAAUCUAAUUUAAGAGUUACCUUUUAUCACACUAGUUAUAUUAUAACUCUAUUUUACAAAAUUAUAUAAAUUUUUAUAUGAGUGAGAUGUUAAAUUUAUACUUCAUUUCUAAUUAUACACAUGAUAAUUUUUUUUUUUCAGAAAAAAAAGAAAAGAAAUUCUAUCUUUUCCGAAAUUGGGACAGAGCAGAUUCCCCUUAGCAAAAUUGAGACAGACCAAGAAAAAUCAGAUAAUAAAAAGAAAGGAACGAAAUACACAUCACUUCAUAAACCCUAGAGAGAGCAUAUUUUUCUUUUCAUUUUCCCUAUUAAUAUAUAUUUCCCUUUAAAGCGAAGAAGAAGAAGCAGCAGCAGCAGUGUCACUCUCCUUGCUAUCUUUUACCCCCUCAUCUCUCCUCUCUAGCCGUCCAGGAGCAAGAAAAGAGAAGGAAAAGAGAAAAGAAAGGAGGCCACUAUCCCUUCCCCCCCAACCCUCUCUCACCCAAACUCUCUCCCUCCUCCUACUUUUGCUAUACUUUAUCAAGAGCAAAGUUUAAAAACAAAUUCUCAGUACCGUCUUCUUAUUUCCCAUUCCGAGUACUACCUACUAAAAAAUUCUUCAAGACAUGGCGUCGGGCAGCCGCGACGCGGCGAACGCGCCCCGCUCGCAGUCGUCCGGCGGCAGCAACGUCCGCGGCGCGAACGCGGCGGCGGAGUACACGGUGAGCAAGGCGAUCGCACAGUACACGGUGGACGCGCGGCUGCACGCGGUGUUCGAGCAGUCGGGCGAGCGCGGGAGCUCCUUCGACUACUCGCAGUCCGUCCUCCGCACGCCGCAGCCAGCCUCGUCGAAUUCCGCGGCGGCGGCCGAGCGGCAGAUCACGGCCUACCUCUCGCGGAUCCAGCGCGGCGGCCACAUCCAGCCCUUCGGCUGCACCCUCGCCGUCGACGACUCCUCCUUCCGCGUGCUCGCCUUCUCCGAGAACGCCCCCGAGCUCCUCGACCUCCUCCCCCCGCACUCCCUCGUCCCCUCCCUGCCCGACGCCGACGACGACGCCCGCGGCGGCCUCCGCCUCGGCUGCGACGCGCGCUCCCUCUUCGCCCCCGCCUCCGCCGCCCUGCUCGAGCGCGCCGCCGCCGCGCGCGAGAUCAGCCUCCUCAACCCGCUCUGGGUGCACUCCCGCGCGGCGUCGGCGAAGCCCUUCUACGCCAUCCUCCACCGCGUGGACGUCGGCAUCGUGGUGGACCUCGAGCCCGCCCCGCGCUCGGACGACCCCACCCUCUCCGUCGCCGGCGCCGUGCAGUCGCAGAAGCUGGCCGUGCGCGCCAUCUCGCGCCUGCAGGCCCUCCCGGGCGGGGACGUGCGGCUGCUCUGCGACACCGUCGUCCAGCACGUGCGCGAGCUGACGGGGUACGACCGCGUGAUGGUGUACAGGUUCCACGAGGACGAGCACGGCGAGGUGGUGGCCGAGAGCCGGCGCGCCGACCUGGAGCCCUACAUCGGCCUCCACUACCCGGCCACCGACAUCCCGCAGGCGUCCCGCUUCCUCUUCCGGCAGAACCGGGUGCGCAUGAUCGCCGACUGCCACGCGCCCCCCGUGCGCGUGCUGCAGGACCCCGCCCUCCCCCAGCCGCUCUGCCUCGUCGGCUCCACCCUGCGCGCCCCGCACGGCUGCCACGCCCAGUACAUGGCCAGCAUGGGCUCCACCGCCUCCCUCGCCAUGGCCGUCAUCAUCAACGCCAGCCCCGGCACCACCGACGUCGACGACAAGGCCUCGAGCUCCUCCUCGGCCAUGAAGCUGUGGGGGCUGGUGGUCUGCCACCACACCUCCCCGCGCUGCAUCCCCUUCCCGCUCCGCUACGCCUGCGAGUUCCUGAUGCAGGCCUUCGGGCUGCAGCUGAACAUGGAGCUGCAGCUGGGGCUCCAGCUGUCGGAGAAGCGCAUCCUGCGCACCCAGACGCUGCUCUGCGACAUGCUCCUCCGCGACUCCCCCACGGGGAUCGUCACGCAGAGCCCCAGCAUCAUGGACCUCGUCAAGUGCGACGGCGCCGCCCUCUUCUACCGCGGCCGCUACUACCCGCUCGGCGUCACCCCCACCGAGCCCCAGAUCCGGGACCUCAUCGGCUGGCUCGCCGCCUCCCACGGCGACUCCACCGGCCUCAGCACCGACAGCCUCGCCGACGCCGGCUACCCCAACGCCGCCGCCCUCGGCGACGCCGUCUGCGGCAUGGCCGUCGCCUACAUCACCCCCGACGACUACCUCUUCUGGUUCCGCUCCCACACCGCCAAGGAGAUCAAGUGGGGCGGCGCCAAGCACCACCCCAACGACAAGGACGACGGCCAGCGCAUGCACCCCCGCUCCUCCUUCAAGGCCUUCCUCGAGGUCGUCAAGAGCCGCAGCCUGCCCUGGGAGAACGCCGAGAUGGACGCCAUCCACUCCCUGCAGCUCAUCCUGCGCGACUCCUUCAGGGACGCCGCCGCCGCCGCCGCCGCCGCCGAGGGCACGACCGCCGUAGCAGGCAGCAGCGGCGGCGGCGGCAGCAGGGUUCUCUCUCGGCCCCUGCUCUGCGGCAAUUCCCGAAAAGCUCGCAAAGCGCCUCGGCCCUCUCUUUUGGCCCUGGGAAAAGGUUAUUUUCGUUUUGCGUUUUUGAUUCGAAUUUCACUAGUGAUUUUAUCGAACCAUCGAGGUUCUNCGGCAGCUCCAAGGCCGUCGUGAACGGGCAGCUCGGCGACCUGGAGCUGCAGGGGAUAGAGGAGCUCAGCUCCGUCGCGAGGGAGAUGGUCAGGCUGAUCGAGACGGCCACCGCCCCCAUUUUCGCGGUCGACUCGAACGGCCAGAUCAACGGCUGGAACACGAAGGUCGCCGAGCUGACGGGUCUGUCGGUCGAGGAAGCUAUGGGCAAGUCGCUGGUUCACGAUCUCGUCUUUAAGGAGUCGGUGGAAGUCACAGAUAAGCUUCUCUACCGAGCUCUACAAGGUUCCCCUAGACUCCUCCCUAUCCUCCUUCUUCUUCUUCCUAUGAUGAUGAUGAGUCAUGUCUUAACCUUUAUUUAUUUACUUAUCUAUCUACUUAUUAUAUUUGCCGCUCAAUCUGACUCUGCAACUUCGUUUAACGAUUGAUAGACCACGUAAGAUUGAAGCUUGUUUUAUAGGUCCUGUAAAAUGUGGCGCAAUGUGAUCAACUAUCUUGGCAUGAUUUGGAAAAUAACCAGAUUUGUGCAUAAAAUGUCAUCGGCAAACUCGGCCUGGGCAAAAUUAGUGAGUUGUCUCCAGAUGAAAUCCAGGAGAACCAGGUCGUCGUACCGAUAUCCCAAAUAGUAGCUGAAAUAGUUAAGCGAGUAGGAUACCUAUCCUACUCUAUGUAACUGUUUAGUGGCUUUGAGUUUUUCUUGAAUUAGAUAGCGCACUUACAUGUGAGAGGUCUUUAAGAUGGAUAGUAUUCUACCUACCUAUUGUAAAUUUACUGAAACGCUAUAAUUCGUAUUAUAUAGACCGGAAGGGCUUUGGACGUGAAAAUGUGUUAAAAACCAAGCAGUUUCUGAGCAUUAAGUUAACUUCAGAACUAGGUGGUCUGCCGUGUUAGGGCAUAGUAGCUAUCCUUUUCAUCCUGAUCGAUAUCCUCCUUGUAUUUUCUUGAGGACCGGAUCUUUGCCAUCGCCGUUGCUUUAUUAGUAGUAUUUAUGUGUUUUCUCUUUUUAGUCCAAAAAAUGACUAGUUCGCACACUGUUUUUAAGCACUACAUUCCUUCGCUCAUGCAGGUGAAGAAGAUAAAAAUGUCGAAAUAAAGCUGAAAACAUUUGGCUCUCAGCAAUCCAAGAAUGCUAUAUUCGUCGUAGUCAACGCGUGCUCUAGCAGGGAUUACACAAAUAACAUCGUAGGAGUAUGUUUUGUCGGUCAGGAUGUUACCGGCCAAAAAGUGGUGAUGGAUAAGUUCGUUCAUAUCCAAGGUGAUUACAAGGCCAUAGUGCACAGUCCUAACCCUCUGAUACCCCCUAUAUUCGCUUCGGAUGAGAACACCUGCUGCUCAGAAUGGAACAUGGCUAUGGAAAAGCUUACUGGUUGGCCAAGUGGGGAGGUUAUUGGGAAGCUCUUGGUAGGGGAGAUCUUCGGGAGUUGCUGUAGACUCAAGGGUCCAGAUGCGCUCACCAAGUUCAUGAUAGUCCUUCAUAAUGCUAUAGGAGGACGAGAGACCGAUAAGUUCCCUUUCGCAUUUUUCGACAAGAAUGGAAAGUACGUGCAAGCUCUAUUGACCGCAAACACGAGAAGUAAAAUGGAUGGUGAGACAAUUGGAGCGUUUUGCUUCUUGCAGAUUGCAAGUCCUGAGCUGCAGCAAGCUCUUGAAAUUCAGAGGCAGCAGGAAAAGAAGUGCUAUGCCAGAAUGAAGGAAUUGGCUUAUAUCUGUCAAGAGAUCAAAAACCCAUUAAGUGGGAUUCGGUUUACGAACUCCUUGCUGGAGAUGACGGACUUAAAUGAUGAUCAGAAGCAGUUUCUUGAAACAAGCGCUUCUUGUGAGAAGCAGAUGUUGAAGAUAAUAAAGGACGCCAAUCUGCACAGCAUUGAUGAUGGGUUAGUUCUCUUCUUUUGAAUUUCCAAUUUUACUGGUAUACAGUUUUUAUAACUAUUGUGUUUCAUUUAUAGUUCUACGUUCCUGUGUCACUGAUUUUCUUGUUCCAAGUUGGCCACAAAUUUAAUUCGGCAGUUGUGCGCAGAAUUGCAGUUUAAGCGUGGAUAGGAAGUCGCAUUAGAGAAUUCCUCAUGUAUAACUCUUUUAUUGCUCCAGGGAUCACUCAGAUAGGAUAGAGGUGAUUAGGAAAAUUCCUUGGCGUGGCUUCUCUGUUGCAGUCUUUGCUCCAUUCUACCCAGUAUUAACUAUCUUUAUUGACUUCUCGCGUGACACACGGCUCUCACAAGGAAUGUUGUUUUAGAAUGUUUGCUUUUAUUCUUGUAAUAAUGAUAUUAUACUCCAGUUAGAUGUGAUAUCGGUUUUUAAAUUGAUCUAUGUUUUACUUAAUGGUUUUCAACUACUCACUGUACUAAUCCUUUUCCUUCAUACCAGCUCCCUGGUGCUUGACAAAAGUGUAUUUCCUGUUGGGAGUGUCAUUAAUGCUGUUGUGAGCCAAGUCAUGAUUUUGCUGAGAGAAAGAGGCUUACAAUUGAUUCGUGAUAUUCCUGAAGAAAUUAAAGAAAUUUCUGUCUACGGCGAUCAAUUUAGAAUUCAACAAGUUCUAGCUGAUUUUUUGCUGAACAUGGUGCGGUGUGCACCCUCCGAAAAUGGUUGGGUAGAGAUCCAAGUGAGGCCGAAUUUGAAACAGAAUCCUGAUGGAACAGAAACAGUGCUCCUCCUCUUCAGGUGUGCCAAACUUUUUACUCAGCCUUUAAAAUGUAGAUUAGCACUAUUUGCUGUUUUUAUACCAAUAGAUGACUUGUUAGCAGAACAAUUAGUUUAUGUUGUUUUUCGUUCGUUACAUCCCAUUAUUCUUCUUUAUUAAGGCAGUGUUGGUUCAGGGAACAACCUUCUUUGGGACAGUUAUUUUUCUACACAGAAAUAAAGGAUAUUAAGUAUCCCUGCUCUCAUUAUCUCAUAUGGGUGUUUAAUCUGGAAUAGUGCAUAAAGUUGUUAAUCAUUCUCCCUAAAUAUUAAGGUUACCCCAAAAACUGGAACUAAAUGUCUGGCAUUCUAGUUAGUUCAAGACUUCUCGGAACUCCAUGAUAAUUGUUGAAAGCAAUACAAAUGAGAGGAUCGCUUUUGUUUGUUUAGAUAUUAUAGUGGUCGGAAUACUAGAAUUUUAGCAUUCUCUAAUCACAGUUCAGUUACAUGUCAGUAGGGUGGUCCCUAAGUAUGUAUACAGGAAGUAGUUUUCCUCAAUGCAGGAAAAAAAAAAUUGCAGCUCAUUAACACAAAAUUCUCUCUCAUCUCUUAUUGAGCCACUGAGAUAAGAUAUAUACCAGCAAACUUCCUCUGGGAAGUACUUGUUAAACUUUUUUUUUUUAGCGUUUUUUUUAGUGAAAAUUUAAUUUUUUGCAUUGAUGGUAUAUGAAUUUUUGUUGUCAUCUUUCUUAGUAUAUUCUUCACAUUAUCAUUCUACAAAGAGUAUUGCUAAGCGCACCUUAGAAAGUCCUUCCAAAUGCUGCUAAUGACUUUUUAGAAACUUUUGUUAGCAAGUUUUGUCAUUUGGUUCGUAAUCACCAAUUACUAGGUAAGUUGCAAGAUUUCCCUUUCUUCAUAUAAAUAUGUUCUUAAAGUAUACUUCUAAUUGUUGUACCUAAAUUUCCACCGUUAGUGCUAACAAUUUAGAUGGUUGACGCAUUGAUGUUACAGAACCAUCCCCUACUCAUUCCUCACCGUUGCUUUGUAUCUUGUGCUCCAGAUUUGCUUGCCCUGGCGAGGGCCUUGCUCCCGAACUCGUCCAAGACAUGUUCCAUAAUUCGCGGUGGGCGACCGAAGAAGGUCUCGGGCUAAGCAUUUGCCGGAAAAUCCUCAAGCUAAUGGGUGGCGACGUCCAAUACAUUCGGGAGUCAGAGAGGUGUUUCUUCCUCAUCGCCUUAGAACUUCCCACUUCUCAGAAAAGUGGAAGCAGAGACGAUUAACACAUUCAACCACUUACUGAACUAACAACGCGAUGCUACUAUAUUAUAAGUUGGUCGAAAGCUGCACCCCGUAAGGCCGCAGCGGGAUGUACAAGCCCCCAGAAACCGUAGUUGAAGCUGCUUUAGAAGCUCGAGUUUUGCUGGUUAUGCGGCGAAAUGGCUUUUCUCUCUCCAACUAUCGCUUUCUGCGGGUUGCUUGGCGGUUGUUUGUAAGAAUUGAGUUAGGUGUAUCGCUGUAUUAGUAAUUUUCCGGAGUUUCAUGAGAGUUGCGUCUACGAUGGUUGUUUCAUCUCACUAAGGACCAUUUUCUUCGUACAUUUUUCGAAUUCCUGAUGUCUGCAUGGUGGCUUUAAAGCUUCCAAGCAGGGUUCUCCAUAGGGGCUAAUGUAUGUAUAUUAUUGGUCUUUGUGUUUGCAUUGUAUCUUAGGGGCUGUUUGGUUCCAAAUAAAACUCUGAAAAAAAAAUUUUGUGAAAGAAAAAAAUCAGAGGAAAGUAAGUUUAACGCUCUUUAAUGUUUGAUUUGUUGGAAAAGAAAAUUAAUUUUACAUUAUGAUUGUUUGAUUGAAAAGACAGAGAAUAAAUAAAUAAUUAAUUAAUUAUUAUAUAUAUUUUUUUUUCUAUUCCACAUUUUAUAUUAUUGGUAUAUAUGGUAAUUAUCAUAAUAUAUUUAUUAUUUANUAAUACUAUUUUAUUUUUAUAUAUUAUACAAAUAUAUUAUUUUAUAAUAUAUUAUUUAAAAGUAAUAUUUAUAAAUAUAAACUAUAAUAAAUAAUUAAUUAAUUAUUAUAUAUAUUUUUUUUUCUAUUCCACAUUUUAUAUUAUUGGUAUAUAUGGUAAUUAUCAUAAUAUAUUUAUUAUUUAUUAUAGUUUAUAUUUAUAAAUAUUACUUUUAAAUAAUAUAUUAUAAAAUAAUAUAUUUGUAUAAUAUAUAAAAAUAAAAUAGUAUUAUUUUAUAUAUAUAUAUCAAGGGAGUAUGUAUUUUCGAUUUUUUAAUUUUUGGAUCAAAGAUUGUACGGUUAAAAUUAUAGCGUUCCGAUCCCCCGAGUGAGAGUACACGGCGUUUAUUUUUUUUGAGAAAAUUAUUUUUACGGACAACCAAACGUCAGAAAGUCAAUUCUUCAAGUGAAAAAUAAUUUUCAAAGUAAUUUUUCGAGAACCCAAACACCCCCUUAUAGACGUCGAAAUAGAAUUUUCAAAUUCCCACUACAAUAAUUUUGUUCUAUUACACGAGGCCGUUAUAAACUGAUUCAAAAUUUCAAAUUCACACUUAUGUUUUCAAACAGUAAGUUCUAUAAUUUUUUAUUUGAAACUCCAUUUACUCUCAAAAUGGCAAACAGCAUCCGGGAAUUUUCAGGCGGUGGCUUGCCAACGUUACGCAACGUACGCCACAGAAAAGCUUAUCCGACUUAAAAAGGUUGCCGUACGACAUUAUUUUAGUGGGCCCCACACCACAAGCUCAGAACCUAAUCUGCUUUUUUUGGGGCAGGCGACAGGUGGGUUUUUGGCGCUUUUUUGUCUGCUUUCCCGAACAGCUUUUCUUGUACCCAUUACAGGAUUCAAUAAAAAUAGAAGGUUCAAAAUGGACAACUUGUUUUGCUUUUACUGCAGUAUAAAGCUAUCUAUUUCAAUAGUAUUUUUUUUUUUACCAUAUUCGAAUAGUGUUUAUGUAGAAGCUAGAUUGGAGUCUCAGCAGGUCUACGUCUCAUUCAGAAAUGUGGGAUCGAAAUCAAAAUAUUCAAGUUGAGCUUGUUUAGGCCCACGACAAAGGAUCCAGACCUUUCUGGAAGAUGCUUGUACUAAAUUUUGGGCUGAAUUGGGCUUGGCUCAAGAUUCCUUCCGCUUAACGGCCCAACCAAGUGACAUUUUCGGUCUUCGUAACGAGAAUCUUUUGGGCCGGGCUAGGUGGGUCGUCAAAGUCGAGUUUGCUCUUUAGGGUUUCGAGUUCUUUUUUCAUUAUAAACAAGCCGAAAAAUUCAGCUCGUGUUCGGUUCGUUUACUAAACGAGCGAUUCGAUCUCGAGCUCAUUUCGAGCCGAACAUGAGCUGGCUCACGAACAACGAGCUGAAUUGCCAUCCCUAGUAGUGAGUCAUGGGAUAUUUUAACUGAAAAAAAGGAUAAUAUUUGGUGGGGACAGUCCCCAUGGUGAGACAGUCUCAUUUAUUAUCCAUGCAGGUUUGAGAUUCAUGUUGUUCAUGUCGUGGACCAUGAACGCUUCGGUCUCGUGUUUGGCUAAAGCUUGCUCUAUAAAAAAAAAGUUAAAUAAUUUUUGUAUCUUAAAAUUUAAUAAUAGAAAUGGUAAUUAUCUCAAUCUUUUGCAACCAAUGAAGAAAAAACUAUUGAAAAAAAAUUUAAUAAAAAAUCUAUUAAUUAGUGCUUUUCUUUUAACAACUCAAGUCCAACAUUACUUUAAUAUGCAGCUCGAUCGAUGAAGAGCUAGAUAUCACUUUAUGGAAUUGUAAUAUCCGCACAAAGUAAUAUUCAACGAAAAAAAAGUAUGAAACAAAUGCAUCAAAGAGUUUUCUUUUUUUGUCUUUUUUCAUAACGAGAGAGACAGUGGGAGUGUCAGACCUUAUCCUAGAUUUCGCAACAUGUGAUGCGAUUAAUGCCAUGUUUCCUUCGCACAUGUCUAUCAUCGAUCAGGAGACUAGCAUCUCCCUCUGUUCCCACGUAAACAUUUCGUUAAACCGGCUUUUUCUAGCGCAAGUGAUAAAAAAUUUUGUGGUUGGUAUUUGAUAUUUUAAAUUCGAAUUUUACUUAAUUUAUAUGUAGGGAUGCAAACCGGGUGGAUCUGGGGACGGGAGCCCCGCCCCGCCUCCCGCCCCGACUAGCAAAAUUCCGUCCCGCCUUCCGUCCCGAAUCCGUGAUGGGUUAAAAAAUACAUCCCAUAAUCCGUCCCGCCUUAUAACCCGCCUUCUGCCGGCGUUCCAAAUCCGCCCUGCCAACUAAUAUUUUUUAUAAAAUUAUAAUAUUAUUAAUAUUUUAUAAAAUAUAAAAUAAUAAUUUUUAAUAAUAUUAUAUAUAUAAUUUAAUAAUAUUAAUUAUAAAAAUCAAAAAUAUCAAUCAUAAUUCAAAAUAAAAUUCAAAAUUUUCAAAUACAUUAGAAAUGAAAGUACUAACUUAUUUGUAUUUUAAUUUUUUUUAUAAAUACAUUAUUUUUUAGGAAUAUUUUUUAAAAAUAUAAAUGAUUUUUCAGGCGGAUUCGGGCAGAUUCGGGACGGAUCAUAUAUGGCGGGGCGGAUUCAGAACGGGUCAAAAUUUCUCAUGUUUCUUGUCCUGAAUUCGUCUCGGAUCAUAAAAUUUAUCCCGUUUUUCGGCCUGAAUCCGUUUAUUUUCUCCCAUUUACUGCUCCGUCGGGGCGGAUCGGGGUGGGAGCUCCACCAAUCCGGAUCCGUUUGCAUUCCUAUUUACAUGUCCAGCUAAGCUUAUUUGUAAAAAAAAAGUAAACGAAUUAGCGGGUAACAUAUUAUCUUUCUCUAAAUAAAGAACAUUUCGUUAAGAGUGUGUGUACUGUAAUUCAAAAAGUGACAAAACUGGAAAUUGGUAAGAAUUUUUCUUGUUUUCUGCAUUAUUGUUUGCUUUAAAUGCUUAUACUGAAACUUAAUUUCUAGAAGAUAAAUAAGUUAAUCUUGGCAUUAAGAUUGGUUUGGGAUAUUGUUGCCUAAUAUAUCUGCUUUUAUUCUUAUAAAAAACAUUUGAAAAUAUUUUGAAAAUAUUUUGAAAAUAUUCACCUCCAAUAUUAAAAUCCAGAAAAAUGCUUUGCUUACAAACACAUUUUACAAUAUUUUACCAAUUAUACAACUCAAUUGAUAGAUUUGAACUUCGAAAUUAUAAAUAUGUUAUACUUAUCUCUUCAUGAUUCGCACUUCUUCACUAGUUAAAUAAUACUGUAAAAUUUGUUUGUAAGUAUAACAUUAUUUCGAAAAUUGGUAGUGAGAACAAUCAUCUAUCGACCUGUAGUUGGAUGAAACAUUUUAAGUUCAAAACCUCCCUUCAAAGUAUAAAAGUAGAUGUGUUUAGACAUGGUAAUUAAGUCUAAACAAUCGACAAAGACAUAGGUAGUUAACUGUCACAUUUUGCUUAGUCGUCUCAUAAAUGAUACGUAGACUUAACUCACAGUUUUCAAUUUUUAUCUAUUUCUUUUUUAUGUUAGCGGUAGGUCUCGUGAUCCACUUAUAAGACACUUCAAAAGUCGUCAUUCUAAACUCGAAGCUUAGUUAUUUUAUAUUUUUAGCUGAAUUUAUUUUAGACAAAUUAAUGAAUGAGCAUUAUCUUCUUUUGUUAUCGUUUCUUUUAAGAAAAAUAUUGUUCUAGAAACCACAAAAACAAAAAACUCUCAAUUCUUUUUUAAUUAAAACACACAUUUAAAGAUUCGAACUCUUGAACGCUCUUUUUAGUGCCAUUUUUAUCAUCUGUGACUUUCUCACAAAUUCUUUUUUCCAGAAACAGACCUCUUUUUCUUUAAAAAUAGACUUUCUCACAAAGUUGCUACGUAGUCAUGUUAGCAAACGCAACCAAAACAAAUUCUUCAUGCAUGCAUGCAUAUUGCAUGCAUGUGCUUACGUACGUGCAUAUGAUAUGACAUGCAUGCAUGUACGUACGUACGCGCAUAGUACGUAUAACCGAGAACGUACGUACCCAAAUGUUUCACAAUACGUAUAUAUGGAUUCCAGGGGUGGCGGUGGUGGACCGCGUCCUAUUCAAGGUUAGUUGAGUGUUACGCGUGCAUUAAAGGAGCUUAGCUUUAGGCACCGGCACAAAUAUUUUGUAAUAAUAUUGCAUAUAUUAAUUUUUAAUAUUGUGUACGUUUUAAACAUUUUCAAAUAUUGUUUUGAACAAUUCUAAGAGAUUAUCUUAUAUCUAUUACUUUUUUUGUAAAUAUAUUUUAUGUUUAUCUCACUUAUCGCUCCGAUUAAUUAGACAAAUCACGCCACUCAAAUUAAUUGGGUUCCAUUCAUUUAUCCUAAUAAGAACAAAAAAAUCAUCAUACAAACAAGAAAAAAAAAUUAAUUAAUGAUGCUCUUUAAUUUCAUUCAAAUUUAUUUUUUGGGAAGGAACUAGCUAGGAUAUGUAUAUAUGAACUCUUCAGAUAAAUGUUCCGCUCUAAGAUUUUUAAAGCAACCUCCUUUGUUUUUGUUUUUGUUUUUGUGUUGGUUUAUGACAUUUUUUUUUUCUUUUUUUUUUAGCUGUGCAGUGGUAUUAUGAUCAGUGACACCAGAGUCAAAGUUGAUGGACUUUUUUGCCUUCUCCUGUGAGUGAGUGGUCUCGAUCGUAUGCUCCCCUUGUGCUCGACCCCUUAUAUAGAAAGAGUAGAGAGCUCAUGAGUAAGAAGAUGAUGCGCAACCACCUACAUUAAAUGCUCGCUCUAUAUAAGUAAGAGCAGGCACGCACCUCACUCCAAGCAAGCUUAAGCAGAAGCGCAGUAGAGCACUGUGGAGAAGAUGGGGAGGGUUCUGAGGAGUAAUGGAUGGGGAAUAUCAGUGUUAAUGGCAUUGAUGGUUUUGGUGUUUGUGGUGGGGAUAUGUGAAGGGAGGAGGUUGGAAAAGGAUGGGUUUCUUGGUGGGGGUGGUGGGUUUGGAGGAGGCGGCGGUGGAGGGCUAGGUGGAGGCCUUGGUGGUGGUAGUGGUGGUGGUGUUGGCGGUGGCUUUGGCGGCGGAAAAGGCGGCGGUGGUGGAAUUGGCGGUGGUGCUGGUGGAGGUCUUGGCGGUGGCGGUGGUGCCGGUGGAGGUUUUGGCGGUGGCGGUGGUGCCGGUGGUGGUCUUGGCGGUGGCGGUGGUGCCGGUGGAGGUCUUGGCGGUGGCGGUGGUGCCGGUGAGGUCUGGCGGUGGCGGGUGGUGCCGGUGUGUCUUGGCGGUGGCGGUGGUGCCGGUGGAGGUCUUGGCGGUGGCGUGUGUGCCGGUGGAGUCUUGGCGUGGCGUGGUGCGUGUGGUGGUGCUUGGCGGUGGCGGUGGUGCCGGUGGAGGUCUUGGUGUGUGGCGGCUCCUGGUGGUGCGUCUUGGCGGCGGCGCGGUGCAGGUGGUGGUCUUGGCGGCGGGCGGUCAGGUGUGGUCUUGGCGGCGGCGGCGGUGCCGGUGGUGUCUUGGCGGCGGCGCGGUGCCGGUGGUGGUCUUGGCGGUGGCGGCGGUGCUGGUGGUGGUCUCGGCGGUGGAGUGUGCCUUGGUGGUGUGGCGGAAUUGCGCGGCGGUGGCGCCGGUGGGGUGCUGGGCCGGUGGUGGGAUUGGAGGCGUGUCGGUGGCGCGAGCCCGGUGAGGAGUUGGCUCUGGCGGUGGUGCUGGGCCGGUGGUGUUGGCGGUGGAAAAGGAGCGGUGUUGGGCGGAGCUGGUGGUGAAUUGGGAGGUGGCGGCGGCGCCGGUGGGCAUUGGCGGUGGGUCUGGAGGAGGAGCCGGUGCCGGUGGCGGAAUUGGAGGGGGAGUAGGUGGUGGCGCCGGUGGAGGUGCUGGGGCCGGGGGCGGAUUCGGUGGCGGCAAAGGUGGCGGAAUUGGCGGCGGCGUCGGUGGAGGAGCCGGCGGAGGUGCGGGCGGUGGAUUCGGCGGAGGCGCAGGUGGCGGUGCCGGUGGUGGCUUGGGCGGCGGUGGGGCCGGCGGCGGAGGAGGGUUUGGAGGAGGAGGUGGUGGCGGAUUUUAGUAAGUUUGCUUAAAAUUUGUAUCACGCAAGUAAUAUACUCACCUGCUAUAUAGCAGGGUACUUUGUUGUCUCCGUUAUUGUUAUUAUGUGUAGGGGAAUAUAAAAUCCCCAAUCCGAAUAAUCCUGUGUAUUUGAUCUUUUAUAAUGUGAUGUUAUUAAUCUAUAUAUCUCCAUGAGUUUAUACAGUUCACUCCAUCGGCAGAACCUGUGACCUUUUCACUGCCCCGAGCGCUUCACUAUAGAUUUGUCAGAGUGACUCUUCUUUUGGAAUGGAUCUCAUUUUGUGCUCAAAUUGUCACUUAAAAAUUAAUAAUUAAAAUGUAUAGCACAUAAUUAAUUUUUAAAAUUGAAUCAUUAUUUCAUCAAAUUUGAGAAUAACAAUUGCGUUGCACGAUUUUCCAUAAAAAAAGGUAUCUGUUAAUCUUAUUCGUAUGAUACAACACCAAGGGUUAAAUAUAUCUAAUUGUUUGCUAAUAGUACACGGGCAACCAUUCCUUGCCAUUAAUAAAAUCUAUGCUCAAAAACGGAGCCACAUCUUGCUCACUGAGUUGCCGCGACCACCGAACCCGGUGCGCCGGGUCUGCGCCCGGUCCUUGGCAUGCAAAUUCUCCGAUCAAUAGGUUGCUGCAUGAACCAGAGCAAUUAGCAUUGCAAAGUAGAGAUUGAUGCACACUAAUUUAUGGAUAAUACAAUUUAAACAAUCAAUAAGCUACGUGUUGAUUAUCUCUUUCCCUUAUAAGACGCUAUGGUGGAAACUUAUUUUGCUACGUUGUAGGAUAUAAUUUAGUUCUGAGUCUUAACGACGGAGAACUUUUCCUAUAAUGGUAUUAUAAUACACAUUGUAUCGAAAUGCGUCCAACCAAUUCUAGUUUCACUUUUCAAAUAAGUCAAAUCAAAUAUGCCCUAAAAUGUUGUUUGUUAGACAUCUGUAUUACUAUGGAGCAUGUAUCACUUUUCGUAUCAACUGUGUUAGCAGAUAAAAAUUAGCAUGUUCGGAAUUAAUACGAGGCUUACUCUGUUUUGCCGGCGUAGCUCCAGUUGGUCCAACCAGCUGGAGUGAUGGUCUUGGAGAGGUAGGUCCCGGCAAAGACGACCCGCGAGUAAGCUUCAUUUGCUCGACCCAAGAAGACGUCGCCAACGCCAUACACCUUUCCUUUCAAGAACACGAACCCGCUGUCGUCGUCCGCAGAUCGCCUGUUGUGAGCCGUGAUGGAUCCGAGGAUCUUCGUUCUCCGGUCCGGGAGAACAAAUAUCUCACAACUCUGCAAUUGAUAGAGAAACAAAGAAACGUGCUUCAGUGCCAAAACUCGAUGGUUUGGAUUGUUCAAACUGUUUAACCUACCGAGCAUGUUACCUGAAAGAUCGAUUGGCCGCGGCCGAAGAUGAAAUCGAUGUUGCCUUGAAUGUAGCAGCUCUCGUAGUAAUGCCGGCCCUUGUGAUCGAAGAGAGUGUUGUGAGGGCUAUAAAAUGCGCAAUGGUAGAAAGCCGCCUUAUCGCCGGAGACCAUCGCAGCCACCGACUGGUUGAAAGGGGUACUCGGAACGCCGAUCGGAGCGUCGUUCUGCGACACACAUGUACAUCAAACUAUAAAUAAUUCUUUAUAAGAGAUGAGCAUGAGAACAAUACAUGAAGGGUGAAAAAUGUAUACCUUGAAGCUAAUGCCGAAGGCGACGAAGUUGUCGGCCCGGACGGUGAAAGUCGCGGACUCUGUGUUGUUGGUAGAGCUGUCGUCCCACACUAUCGCCGUCCUGCCCUUGCCAUUGCCCCUCAAGUAUAUGAAUGGCUUGUUCUCUGGUAUAAUUACCUUCUCUCUGCUCGCACACGCCACAACAGAAAAUUUUGAUUUUACUAUUUAAUAUUUUAAUUUUUUUAAUUUGAAUUGGUCAAUGGCACUUUGACUUUAUAUUUCAAAUGCAUCGUUUAUAUUUACAGAUUUAGUUAGUAUAUUUUAUUUUUCUCUUGACAAUUAGAGGCACAAGCAAGAAAUUCCCUAGUAGGAAUUCCAUUUGAGUCGGUCAAAAACCCAUUGCUUUGCUCUUUUGGGGUUGCUUUGAGUAAUAUCUAGUUAGUUGCUUCUACCGGCUUCUGGAACAGUAUUUUUGCUGGAGAAGCAUAAAUUAGAUGUUUGGUAAUUAGAACGAAAAGUAAAAUCAGAAUUUUGGAUCCUAAAUGUACAUCACAUAAUAUUAAAUCUAAUUGAAGCUUCUACUUCUAGCUAGUUUUAGUGUGAAUUCACAAGCAAAUCAGAUUGAAAAUAAAAGUUAUAAUUAUCUAUCUCUUGAAACUGGUUAUCUUGUCCUCUACCACAAUCUCUGACGUAAAUGGUGACAUCAGGAAGAUCACAGCACGGUCAAAUUAAGAGUGCAUGCAGUUAAUGAACGUAAAGAGCGUGAACACAUCUUUUUCAACAUCUCUCUUCCAUUUAUCCAAUAAAUAUGCAGUAAUAUACGACUUUAAAACUUUUUUAUCAGAAUAUAAUAAAUCAUGCAUGUCGUGGGUAAAAUGCUAGUAAAUGAUAAAUGUACCUGUAAACCCCGGCCCUAAGGUGGACUAUAAUCCAAUCCGAGUUCCCCUCCGGGACCGCGUCGAUAGCGGCUUGAACCGUUCUAUACUCUUCGGCCGGGCCGACGAGUACGGUGCGAUUGGCGCCGAUCUUCGACGUGAGGAGCGGAGCGUCGACGAUGUCCUUCCUCUUGCCAUCAACGAGAGCGUCGGCGAAAAUAGAAGAAGAGAUGGAGAGGAGGAGAAUUGCGACGAAGAGAGUGGAGAGAGGAGAUUGGGACAUGAUUGUUUUAGAUGAUAGAGGUUAAUAAUUGAUUAAUUAACAAUUAAUCACUUUUGGGGGAGAGAGAGAGAGAGAAAGAGGGGAUUUAAGAAAGGGACUUUGUUAAAAGUUUAAGAGGUGGAGAGGGAAACGCGGGGGAGUAGUUUAAAGUUUAAAAUGGGGCCAAACCGGGGUGUGUUUGUUUGUGUUGGGGUCCUCAUGCUCCCAAGUCCCAACUAAUUUAACUAAAGUGAGUUUCAGGGCAUUGUUUCAUUGGAUUUGGGCCUAAGGGGCACUAUACCAACUAUUUGUCGGAUCAUUGACGCUAACCAUUAAUCCCAAAAACUCGAGCUGUUAAAAAUAUGCAAUCAAUUCACUUAAAGCGUACAGGUACAGCACCCACAGGUCUCAAUAGUGACUCGGCUCAAUCAACUUCACGCCACUUCGAACAUGACUCGGCUCACCCAGCCUUACGCCAUUUCAAACAUAACUUGGCCCAAUAUGAUCUCCCGUCACAGAGCAGGUUGCUGAUCCAUUUAAACUAAUACUAUUGUCCUAAGCCAAUUAAUUAUUUGUUUUGUUCCGCUUUUACUUUUGUUUUCAGCAUCGCACAACUGUUUAUUGCCAAGCAUUUCACAACUAAAAAAAAAGUUGAAGGUUGCACUGCCAAGAAAGGUGAAAUGAUUUAUGAGCUUGAAAAAUAUUGCUCUAAUUUAGAAUAUCUAUUGUACUAUAGAAAAAGCUACUUCUAAUAACACUGUAUUUUAUUAUAAGGCUAAAUGGAUUGCAAGCUUUAGGUAUCUUUGGUACGAGAAUACUUUUUUGUUGAUUAUUCCUGUUAUAGGUACAAUUUCAAGUAUAAAUAGAAAUAAAAUUAAUUUUAUAUUUGGAUGAAAAGUGGGUUAUUUUCAAGAGUAAGAAAAAUAGUAUUUAGGUAGUUAGAUAGGAAUAAUAGGAAUAAAAGUGAUUAUAGUAGUUAAAUAAUAAUAUUGUAUAUACUUAAUUAAAAUCAAAAUAUUAAGUAAAUGAUAUUUAAUAAAUUAAUUAACUAAUUUAUCAUGAAUAUUAUUAGAUAAUCAUAAAUGUUAAUUAAUAAAUUAUCUAACUAUAAAUAAUUUGAUAAGUUAAUAAAUUAAGCUAAUAAAUUAAUAUAUUAGUAAAUUACUUAUUUAUUUAUUUAUUUAGUUAUUUAUUUAGUUAUAUUGGUCAAAAUAUUAAAAAUCAAUAUAGAUAUUGGUUAUUACAUAAAAACACUAAUAAAUAAUUAUUUAUUUAGCUAAUAUUUUUAUUAUUAAAUUAGUUAAUUAUUAAUUUAACUAAUUAAUUAAUAAAAUAAUAUAUAAUAUAUUAAUUAAUAAUAUUUUAUUAUUAAAUUAAUAGAGGUAUAAAGAGAAGAAAUUGUUAUUCCACUAAAAGGGUGAAACGACAAUUUCCCCCUCUUAACAGGUUAUUCUAGAAUAAUCCGUUAAGAGAGGGAUAAAAUAAACUCAUUCCCUCUUCUAGCGUUUGGAUGAAUUUGAGAGAUAAAAUGGUUUAUUCCCACUUUAUCACUCAACCAAACACUGCCUUAGUGUAUCCGAGGGGUAAGAUUUAGCUUGGUGAUGAACGAAGAUAACAAUCGAAGAAAGAGGAAGAGGAAUAGUUCGGCCUAAUACAAAAAUAUGAUCCGGUUUGAUUCAAACAAAAAAAGAGAAAAAUCUGAGCCGGUUCGAGAUGGAACCCAUAGUCGAUAGUGAUCGGUUCGGUUCAAGCAAAAAAAGAAAAAAAUUCGGUUAAAAAAUGAAAACAUGUGAAGCAGUUUGGUCAGUUCGGUCCGAUGCAACAGGUUAACUCGGUUCAGUUCAAGCAAAGAAAGAGAGAAACCGGAUUCGAUGUAAGUAAAGACAGAUGAAAACAUAUAGAUGACUUGAGCAGGUUUGGGGUUGCCCAUACUCAACAAUAAUCGAUUUAGUUCAAACAAAAAAAUAAAAAGGAUUUGAGCCAGUUCAGGAUGGAAUCCACAUCCAACAAUGAAAGGAAUGUUACCAUGUGACAAAUUUUAAAAAAUAAUAUAUAAGUAAUAUAAUAUAAUAUAAUAUAAUAUAAUAUAGAUAUAGAUAUUUGGUUUAGCUUCUAAAACAUAGUGCCAAGUGUUUACCCCCCAAAAAAAAAAAAUUGCGAAACUUUAGUACUUGUUUUAGCGGAAUGAAAUAAUUUCAGUGAAAAUGGUCUCACAAAUUGACCAGCAUCUAUUAGGCCAGGUGAACUUGUUGGAUUAAGCUACUAACAUCUUAGGGCCCAUUGGGUCAGCGUAGCUAAAGAUACCUGAAAAACUCCCGUAAAGUUACUAAGAUCGGAUGUGCCGGGGAGUAUGCGUUAUCUCGUUUGUCUCCCUGAGAAAUCGCGUCUCAUACAUCACACAGGACGCUCACAAUACAAAAUAAUCCUAUCUGAAAACGAAGAUACAGAUCUCUACGUAAUUUAUAAGAAUUGAAGUUUUGAAAUUUGGAGUGAUUCAGAAAAAUCAAAGCAUAGUUAUAUUAGACUAUUAGAAUGCAUGUCACAAGCUGAUGAGUGAUUGGACUGAAUGAAUUUAAUGAAGCGCUUUUGAGCCCAUUAAAUUCCAAUGAACAACCUAGCUAAAUUAGUUAAUUCGCGUAACAGCUAUGCUGGUAACAGAUCUAUUGCUUAAUUUAAUAUGCAAUAAUUAAGUUCUUGGACCUUUUUUUUGUGCAUGUGUGUUUGUGUGUGUUUGUGUUUCCUUGGACAAGUUGAGAUUAAUAAAUAAGCAAAUAUAUGUACUACAAAUGCAUGGUACAUGUGGAUUUUAGAGUGCAUUGAUGAUAGCGGGGGAUGGUGCGGUUGGUAGCCGUUGGUUUCGAAAUUUAAAAUAUUUUGAACGUUGAUUCGUAGCCAUCCCAAUAACAACGUAGUCAAUGCUCACAUGUCACAUCUUGAUUCAGAUUAUUUCAGAAAAGGUCAAAAAAUUAUAUAGAGACCCCUUAACUAUAUAGCACGUUUUGAAAUUGUUCCCUUCUUUAUUUUUCUUUCAACUUUUUAACUUUUAAUUUAAAAUCUUAAACUUUGAUUAUUUGUUUAAAAUUAACCUAUUUUUUGUAAAAAAAAUCAAAUCAAAAAAAGUAUCUAUAAAAAAAUAAAGUUGAGGGAUCUUUUUCAAAGUGGCUUAUAGCCGAGGGGGUUUACGUACAUUUUCCCAUCUGAAAAAUCCCAAAACGUGCGAAAAUAACUUAUUUAAGUAAACAGUGGACCAGCACGGAAUCUCCCGCCAAAUUUAGCAACAAAAUCAACAUCCAAAUCCAUCUCCACCGUCCGAUCGAUCCAAACUCUCCGAUCCCACGGCUCGCACUUCGCCUCCCUCUCACCCCUCACGCCCUUCCCGCCAUUCCCAUCUCUAUGUUCACGGGUAGGUGAUGAGCCCACUUCGCCAUUAAUUAAACGCCCUUCUCCUCCCUCACAAUCCCUGCAUAAGUAGAAACGCGCGUUACCCAUUCGAUGAAAUUCCCCAGAGAGUUCCCUUCAGAAAUUUCCCAUUUAUUUUUCGGUCCCUUUUAAUCGUAUACUAGUUCUGAUCCGAUUUUACUCGACGUUCGCAUCGAGUCAAAUCGCAUUUAUAGUUUGUAAUUAUUUAAGUUUUGUUUUGGCUCAAGCAUAUUUUGCGAACAUAUAUUAACCAAUGGAUUCUUCUUCCUCCAACAACUAUUUUAGACUUGGAUUUCUUUUUGGCGUGUUAAGUUGUUUGUUGUUACGGAAUUGCUUUGCCGGUAAUUUGCCCGCCAAUUUUGUUUUUGGGGAUUCAUUGGUUGAUGUCGGAAACAAUAACUAUAUUGCGACUUUAUCGAAGGCUAAUUACCGACCAAAUGGUAUAGAUUUUCCGAGUCAUCAACCGACCGGCCGUUUCACGAAUGGGCGAACAAUUGUUGACAUACUAGGCAUGUGUUUGUAAUCGGUAAACCGAUUCCGUAUUUUGUCGUCUCCGCAUUCUCUGUUGCAUUGAUCUGAUUUGAUGUAUUUUUCUUCUGAUUCUUUAGGUCAAGAAUUAGGCUUGGGUGGAUUCUCUCCUCCUUACUUGGCGCCGGAUACGGUCGGAGAUGCGGUGUUGAAAGGUGUUAAUUAUGCGUCUGGGGGUGGGGGGAUUCUCAAUCAUACUGGGAAAGUUUUUGUAAGAAUACUCAGUUGAUCAGUUCUAACUUAUGAUUUAUUUCUUUUGCUUCACAUUCAGAUUUUUUUUUUUUUCCUUUAUUGAGUUCAUUCGUGUUGUGUGAGAUAGUCGGAAAUGUGUUAUGAAUGAACUUUAUUUAUAACCUAAUUAUUUUCUUCUGAAGAUCAAUACACAGUUAAUGAGAAGAAUUCUGCAAGCAGAAGCACAACUCCGAAAAAGAAAAAAAAUCCACAUUUUACUAACAACAGUUGGGUUUUGUACGAAUUAAAAUGUGGCGGUGAUCGUCUCAUAUUUUUCGUUUCUAUACUUGUCGCUUUUUCUGAUCCUUAAUAUUUGUUAAUUGCUUGCAAUGUAAAACAGGGAAAGAAAAAGCUAGAUAUUAUUUAAUCUGGAAUUAUUGAGAUUUAGGGUCCACUCAUUCGUCUUCGUUUCUGUUGCUUUCUGACCAAAUAAGUUCUAUGGAUUUCAUACAAAACACGAGACUAAGUUCUAUCAAACUGACAAUUAAACCAGAAUGUCAGCUUCUUCAAUAAAAGGUGAAACAGAAUCGAAGAAAAUAUGGUGCGAACUGAACACUUUUGAUCAUCAAGUUGUCUUCUAGUAAAGAUGAACAUAUUUGUAUUUUCCUAUUCAUCUUAUGACACUUUGGUGAUUUUCAUUCCAAUAUUGCCUUUAUUACUAUAUUCAUCUCUAGAAUGUUUCUAUAGCUAUAGCUCCUUGUUGAUCACUUGAUUUCCAAUGUUUUCUCAGGGCGGGCGCAUCAACUUGGAUGCACAGAUUGAUAACUUUGCGAACAAUCGGCAAGAUAUAAUCUCAAGCCUCGGGAUGUUGAAUGCUAUGAAUCUGUUAAGAAACGCUCUCUACUCAUUCACUAUAGGCUCUAACGACUUCAUCAACAAUUACCUUACUCCUGUAUUAUCUGUUCCCGAAAGAGCAGUAGUUUCCCCAGAAGCCUUUGUCGAGAGCAUGAUAUCAAAAUUUCGACAGCAGUUAACAGUAAUUAAUACCUCAUCACCAUUAUUCAUUUCUUUAUGAAUCAUUACAUCAGAAUAUGACAAUAGCAGCAGUAUUCGCAAGGGGCUUUUACAUGUCUGAUGAAAAUCUUCUAUUCGCAUAUAUAUUGUUUCUAAAUCCGAAUUUCAAUGUAUAAGGAAGAUGCAAUUCCUUACGCAAACAACUUUGUUUGCAUUCAGAAAGUUAUUUAAGAAACUUGCGAGUCAAAUUUUGUGCUGGAAAAUAUCUAUAAUAAACUCUGAUUGUUUUACCUUCAUAUCUUGUAGAGGCUCUAUCUCCUGGAUGCGCGGAAAAUUGUCGUGGCAAAUGUCGGGCCCAUCGGCUGCAUUCCCUUCAUGAGAGACACGAAUCCGUCAGCGGGCAACAACUGCGUAGACCUCCCAAACCAAUUAGUGCAGUACUUCAACAAGCGGUUGAAGGAUCUGAUAAGCGAACUGAGCUCGAACCUCGAGGGAUCCCUUUUUUUGUAUGCCGACGUCUACCGCAUUGUAACGGAUAUCAUCGAGAACUACAGAGAUUAUGGUACCAGAGGAGAAGCUAGUUUGUCCUGUAAUAAGUGUUAGAAUUUGCCUAUCAAGUUAAGUAUUUGUUUCUUUUGCAUUUGCAGGUUUUGAUGCUGCAGAUUCUGCUUGCUGCUUCGUUGGGGGCCGAUUCGGAGGCCUAAUACCGUGUGGCCCGCCAUCGAAAGUUUGCCCCGAUAGGUCCAAGUACGUGUUUUGGGAUCCGUACCAUCCUAGUGAUGCGACUAACAUUCUCAUAGCUCGACGACUUCUCGAUGGUGAUUUAGCUGAUAUUUAUCCGAUAAAUGUGCGGCAGCUACUCAAUGCUUGAGAGUUAAUUCCUGCUCUCAAGAUCAGAUCAUGAGUAAAAUUCUUUAGAAAGCUGAUUACUUCAAUUCACUUAUAUUUCAUACAAGUGUGUCUUUUUGCAAAUGAGAUCUGCAGAAUUCAAUUACUUACAAUUAAGAUGUGUAUAUUUUCCUCCAUUUAUUGGAACCCUAGAUGUUUUUGAUGAUAGAGUAACAACAGUGUCCUAUUGAAAGUACAAUUGUGAGAUGUGCUUGUUACUGUAGAGAGAUCUAUUGCUUGAAAUUGGUACAAGUAAGCAACUAAAUUUUUUUGGAUUAACAUUAAAUAUUAAAUGCAGUGCAUGAAAUGUAUGGAUAAGGCAACAACUUCUUCCAAUUAAUACAUUUAGGUCCUGUUCGGAUACGGAAUAAGUGGUUUAAAGAUAACUUAUUCCAUGUAAAAAAGUUUCUGUUCUGAAUAAAUAAAUUGGAGUAUAAUUUUUAUGCUUUGAAAGGUAUUGAUAUUCAUGAUUUAACUGGAUGGCAUAUUUCAUCUGCAAGAUAAUUUAUAUUAUUUGAAAAAAUAACUUGCAAAUUGAAUAUGAUAUUUAUUUUAGAUACUGAUAAUAAUAAUCCUCAACUAUUAAACACUAAAUUAGUUAUAAAAAUAUACUGAAAAAAAUUUUAUGCAUUUAAAUAGAAUCUUAACCGGAGAUAGAAACCAGAUAGCAGUGGUCCCCAGCUGAUCCACAAAAAGGCGUCACUGUAAUAUAGGACCCAUAGCCGUUUGUUUAUUUUUUUAUACUAUCCGCAUUGUUUAUAUUAUUCACUUUAUUUAUUUUUUAAAAAAUAAAUUUAAUUAAAAAAAUAAAAUAAUCAAAAUUUAAAAUUUAAAAUUUUAAUUAUUAAUUAUUAAAUUCUUUGUUACUCGUGCUUGGGAAAAUAGGUUUAAACUUUAAACUGGUGCAAUUAGCCUCUGUAAAAGAUCCUCGGUCAACGAUGUCAACUUCGUGAUUUAGCCAGAAAAAAAAAAAAGGAAAAAAAAAAGCUACGGUAACGUUAUUAUUAUUUAUACUCGCCCCGACGUAAUGGGCUCUAUCCACAGCUCACCCUCUCAACCAACUCCGACACGCAAACGAGAUCUCUCUCCAUCUCCAUUCCGGGUAUAUAACAAACCCUCCCCACGGCUCCUUCGUCCUCCUCGUCCUCCUCCGCCAUGGAUGAGCUCAUCGUGGUGGAGCGGCGAUCCCAUGGAUCCGCGGUGGCCGUGGUCACCAUCAACCGCCCCGGCGCGCUCAACUCGCUCACGCGCCCCAUGAUGGUCGCCCUCGCAGGCGCGUUCCGCCGCCUCGACGCCGACGACGCCGUGGCCGCGGUGGUCCUCGCCGGGCGCGGCCGCGCCUUCUGCUCCGGCGUCGACCUCACCGCCGCCGAGGACGUCUUCAAGGGCGACGUCAAGGACCCCGCCGCCGACCCCGUCGCCGCCAUGGCCGCGUGCCGGAAGCCCAUCGUCGGCGCCGUCGCCGGAUUCGCCGUCACCGCCGGGUUCGAGAUCGCCCUCGCCUGCGACCUGCUCGUCGCGGGCCGCGACGCCAAGUUCGUCGACACCCACGCCAAGUGAGUUAGUGAACUAAUCGAAAGCGACGCGACUCGCUCGCUUCGAUCUCAAUCACCAUUUUUUCCCCCCCUGAUGUUCUCGAUGCUUGGACUUGUUUUUGGAUUAGAGUAAUUCAGGGGAUCUGAAAAUUUUGAAGAUUAAAGUUCGUGAUUUUAAAUCAUUGAUCGUUAAGUUUUCUUAGGGUUUUAUUGAAAAUUGCAAGUGAAAACUCGAUACAGAAUUGAAUUAAUUCGUUAUUGUGGCUAAAUUUGCCCUGUUUGCUCUUCUACUUCAUUAAUUUGUAUGAUUUAACGCUUAUUAAGAUGUCUUCUAUGAUGGGGAAAUAAUAGUUCGGGAUCUCUCCCUUUCUUUUUAAUAUUUUUCCAUCUUUUAGUAUGUAUGGAAGUGUAAUUGUAGCAAAGUUUUGUUAAGAAUUAGAGGGUGGAAAUGGGGUUGGAUUGUGCUUUUCCCCUAUUAUUACUGAAAAUGGAUUGCAUUACACUUUGCGAGAUUGAAUUGGACUACUUGGUGAAUUGAGGAGAUUUAUUGGUGAGUUGGCUUAGAGAUCAUGUAUGUGUGGAGCAUUGCUGUUCAAUACUCGACUCUGGACUGUUUAGAGGCAGAUGCGGUAUUUAAGAAAGACUGGAAAAUUUGACGAUGUUGGCAAGUCUAGUUUUUGAAUUGUUCAAUUUAGAAUGCUAAGUAAGAGAAGAUUACAAAUAUAAACAGACAAAACUGAUGAUUGAUGGACCAACUUCUUGCCAAAUUGUAGAUUUUAAUGUUUGAUAUUGUAAGAAAGAGAGGGGGGGUUUACAUGCUUUUGUCAAAUUCGUCAAAUGAUUGGCGGCCAAUCUACAUCUACAAUCAGCGUGCCUGCGUAGUAAUAAUCGACAUAAAUUUUUAUUCAUGAUAAAUGUGAAUGCUGUCGAAUUUUUGGUUUGUUAGCAUUUGUUUUCUUUGUUGUAAACUGAAUUUCUUGACCAAUUGGCAACAUUGUUGUUCAGGUUCGGCAUCUUUCCUUCUUGGGGCCUCUCACAAAAGCUCUCGCGGAUAAUUGGACCAAACAGGGCUCGAGAAGUGUCACUCACUGGUAUGCCUAUAACUGCAGAGAUGGCUGAAAAAUGGGGGCUGGUUAAUCAUGUUGUGGACAGUAGUGAAGUUUUAAAUAAAGCCAUAGAGAUCGCAGAGGCCAUUACGAGGAACAACCGAGACAUGGUACUGAGAUACAAGUCGGUUAUAAACGAUGGCUUCAAGCUGGACUUGGCUCAUGCUCUUGAUCUAGAAAAGGUGGCGUUUUUAUGCUAUCGCUGUAAAUGGAACUUAUUAUAUUUAACUGAGAGCUCAGGUAGUUUCUUCUUUUUUUCUGAAAAAUUCUUGUGGUUUCAGGAAAGAGCUCAUAGCUAUUAUGAUGGGAUGACCAAGGAGCAAUUUGGGAAAAUGCAAGAAUUUAUACGAAGUCGACGCUCAAAACCAGCGUCCAAGUUGUAGACAGUUGAAGAUCUAAUGAAGCCAAAAAGCUUCCCAUGCGAAAAUGUUCGAUAUCAUUGGUGUAUCGCAAUAAACCCAAAGGAAAGAGAAUGUUUAAUGUGGUGAUGUAUCACAUUCCAAUAAGGUUUUAGAAAGAUAAGAGUGAGAAAUAAGAACAAAGAUAUAUUUCCGUUACACGCGGUAUAUCUGUUGUUGUCUUGUUUAUCUUCUUACACUGUAUGCCUUGGGCUCCUCUCUUAUGAUUAUGAAUUCUACAUCUUUAAGGUUAAAAGCGGCCAAAAAAUACCCAAAAACUUUUUUUUACCUGAUUGCGAAGCAGCACAUUGACUAUGAAUUAUGAAAUGUUGUUACGAAUGCUGGAUAUUAUGAUGUGCACUGAAUGUUAGCUUCUUUUGAUUAUUAGUGGUCCUUGUGGUUUAUCGGAUAUUGGCAUGCAACUUGUUCCAUGGCACAUUCUCAGGAUCUUUUUAUAACUAAUUUCCCUGCUGGAGCACGCGAUUCCUAUUUAAGGCGGUAAUGGUUCAUGGUUUCAUCUUACCUAUUUUGUGAUUCUCGUGUUUGUGAAUUGGUAGAUGGUUUGGUAUGAUGUCAAAGUAUCAAUAAUCACGUAUCCUUAAAAAAAUAAAAGAUUGGUAUUGGAGGGUUGUGUGUGUAUUCAAAUAUUGCAUUAUGUGUAUCCUUAACGCCUAUAAUUCUCACCCUUUUUCUUUUCCCCUGCACUGUAUCUAGCUUAUGUGAUAGUGGUUCUAAAUUGCUUCAUAGUGUUUUAGAAGCAUAUAUCAGGAAGAUCUUUACUGCAUAUUUAAUUUCAUUUUGUAAAGAUAUGAGACUCCGCUAAUUAACCGUUCUGGCUCAAAAGCUGCUUCUGUCGAACAGCUUUUCUUUGCAGCAGAAUUUUAAUUGAAAACUUAGCAUCUGAGAUUUGAGUUCUCAUUUUUUCACCUUCAGAGAGUAGUUGAAAGCAGAUAGAACGUCUAUCCUCAUCGUCGUUCAUGAACGGUGAAAGAGGGCUUUGGGAGGAGCGCUGCAGCAAGGUUGAUGUUCAUAAUCAGAUAAGGGGGCGUUUGGAUGUCAAGUGUAGUGGUGUUUGAGUUUUCCUGAAGUGUGAUUAUUUUUUUGUUGUUUGUUUUGACGUAACUCGUACCGCCUGAAAGUUAAAUUUAAUCACUUCUGUUGUUUGUUUUGAUGUAAGUAAGUGGAUUUUAUUAUCUUCUAAAUAUAGUAGUAAAUUUACCACUAUAAAAUUUAAUCUANUUAUCUUCUAAAUAUAGUAGUAAAUUUACCACUAUAAAAUUUAAUCUAUUAUAUAAUUAAUUUUUUUAUUAUUAUUUAAAGAUAAUCCUAAUUUAUUAUAAAUAAGGUAAUUCUAACUCAUUAUAAAGGAAGUAGAGUUUAGGUUUUACUGUUUAAUAAUUUUUUUAGAGAAGGUUGAGUAUAGUGAAAGUCGAGUUCGGCAUUUUAGAGGAGGAAGUCGAGAGUAAGUGAAGUGGAGUUUUAACGUAACUUGAGUUACAUUAUAUUUUUCACUUACAUCAAAAUAAAUAACAGAAGUGGUGAAACUUGAGUUCCAUCACUCCACUUACACCAAAACAAACGGGUCCUAAGUGAACUCAUCAGGCUUUUGACUAUGUUGUGGCUAGAAAGAAAUAGUAUUAUCUUUAUAGGAGACUUAAACCUAACUGUGGUUCUUCGGAGUAUACAUUCAUUACCAUAGAUUUGGUUAGAACAAUUCCGAUAAACGUACACCUCUAAAUUAAUCCUCCCCCACCUCUCCUCUCUCUCUUCCCCCUUUUUCCUCUGCUCCUUUUUAUUUGCUUUUUUUUUUUUUUUGCCUCUCUUUUGUUGUCAAGUUCAUAUAACUUUAUUCGGAUAAUUUUUACAUUUUUUUAAAAAAAUAUUGGAUGAAAGACUAUUUUUUUUUAUCAAAAGAGUAAGAAAUUAAAAUUUAAUAGCUAGAUGAAGACCAUAUAAUAUAAUCUGUGUAAAAUUUGUCUGAUGUAUUUUGAUGCGGUUGCUCUUCAUGCGCAAUAAAUAAGCGGCUUAAGCGGUGAAAUGAUAAGAACAGAGAAGCUCUACAGGUGUCAUGCGCAAGCAUGAAACCCCAAGAAUUUCCUCUCUCUCUCUCUCUCUCUCUCUCUCUCUCUCUCUAAAGAAGUACAUGAUUCAAGUACUGGUAGGUAUAUAUACUUCGCACCAAGUUUCUUAUGUGAACCAAGGAAGGUGCCCCAAGUAGUGCAUAGUCCUGCAAAAAAAAAAAAGGUAUGAUUAUUCUAUAUAUUAUUUUUUAAGACAAGUAAGUUCAUGAGAAAUAAGUUCUAUAUAUAUUUGAGCAUGAGCACUAGGGUAAUGCCAUGAGUUUGUUGAAACUUACACUAGCAGGUAUUGUGAGCAGAGCAUUUCUUGUGGCCUCUUCCAAUUUCUGGAGUUAAAAGAAAAAAAAUUGUGCCCUUUCCUGCUUAAAAUGUGAGUCUGAAUCUAUGUAUCUUCGAACAAAUUUGUGUGUUUCGUAUUUUAAGAAUUAAGACACAGUACAAGUUCUUGUAUUCGAUAACAAGCCCAAAAUGUCACUAAUAUUCUUGAGGAAAUAGUGGUUUUUUUUUUUUUUUUUUUUUUUUGUGUGUGUGUGUGUGUGUGUGUGUGUGUGUGUGUGUGUGUGUGUGUGUGGCCUUUUAUACUAUGCAGAGCAUCUAAAUGAUAUUUCUUUCCUAGGGGGAAAAAAAAAUUAAGUAAUUCAAUAGCUCACAUCAAUGUUAGGCCUCUUGUGUGAAAAUGCACAAAUGAGCAAAUACUAUGAGAAUUUCAAUUGUGAGUAAUAAUCUAACAUCUCUUACUUCCAUGUGUUCUCUUCUCUGCAUGAUUCUACCAACCGAAGCAACCAAUUAGAACUUCUCGCCUACGAGGAGCAUGAGAAAUCUCUUCUCCCUGUCCAAUGGAAAGCUCAGUGUUAAUCGACUCGAGUUACUCUACGACAUUCCCGACAAUGUCUCCUUCAAUAGCUUUUCUUCACUGUGCCAAUCCUCGGAAGCACCAUCUUCGCUGUAUAAUUAAUAGAGUUAAGUCCCAAUCUCACAAGGGAGGAUUCCUCGGUUUUACGCAAAAGGCGCCAUCAGAUAUUCUGAUGAAUUCAUUGGGAAAAUUCAGCGGCAAGAGGUUUCUCAGCAUUUUCCGGUUCAAGUCAUGGUGGUCGACAAUGUGGGUCGGAAACUCAAGCACGGAUUUACAAAUGGAGACUCAAUGGGCUCUUAUUGAAGUGCCGAAAUCAUGUUCAUAUGUGCUUCUACUACCCAUAAUUGAGGGUAAAUUUAGGUCUUCGAUCCACCCCGGAGGUGACGGCGAAGCUGUGGUAUGCGCUGAGAGUGGCUCUACUGCAGUGAAAGCUUCGUCGUUUGCUGCACUAGUGUAUGUUCAUGUGAGCGACAAUCCCUACAACCUUAUGAAGGAAGCUUAUACUGCUGUUAGAGUUUAUCUCAAUACAUUUUGACUGUUGGAAGAGAAGUCGUUGCCGAGUUUGAUUGAUAUGUUCGGUUGGUGCACUUGGGAUGCGCUUCAUUUCACUGUCGACCCGGUCGGUGUCUGGCACGGCGUGAAGGAUUUUUAUGAGGGAGGAGUUCAAUUGAGAUUUCUUAUAAUAGGCGAUGGGUGGCAGAGUACUAAGUUUGAUGAUGAGAGCGCGAUUAAGGACGGGAAGAACGAGGUAUCGGCGUGAGCUGAGGGUGUUGCUACGAGGCUUAGUAUGUUCGAGGAGAAUGACAAGUUCAAGAAGUACAAAGGAGGGAGUCUUUUAAGCCCCGAUGCUCCUCCAUACGAUGUGAAGAGCACGAAUAAGUUUUUUUUUUUUUUUUUUUUUUUUUUUUUUNUAUAUAUAUAUAUAUAUAUAUAUAUAGUUGAGCUAGAAUACUAUCGAUAGUAAACGAGCCGUUUUACUACCUAUUUGUUUUCGAUGAUAGAGCUUCCAAAUUGACGAUCGGCUCCAUUGAACAUGAUCUAUACCACUUGAAGUGUUUAGAUCACAUCACGUGUGGUCUCGACCUCGACAACAUUGAGAUACUGCUUAUGCUACUGUUUGGAUGGCAUAAAAAAACCUUGACAAUAGCUGUGUCUGGGACUAUCAAUGAGCCGAACAUGAACAAGUUGAUCCCAAUUUGUAUUCGCCUCGCUAAAAUUUUGAGCUGAAAAAUUUAACUCGUGUUCGACUUAUUUAAUAGAUGAGCAAUCGAUCUUGACCUCAUUUCGAGCAUAACACAAGCUGGUACGCAUGCAAGGAGGUGGAUUGUUAGCCCUACUUACUAUUGUGAUCUUAGUUGUUUUAGUCUCGUUUUUCUUAGCGGAGUAGUUUUCUUUCACCUUUUGUGUGAACCUAAGCACACAAAGUGAAUGCUCUUAGGUUUUGAACAAUAUAAGCACAACGCUUUAUAGCUAUGCUCAUAAUAGAAUAUUUAUUAAUAUCUGCUUUUGUUGGUAAAUAGAAACACAUUAUGAAUUGUUUUUUUUUUUUUUUUGAGAAAAGGUAGCACGCUACCUGCUUCAUUCAUUAAAGAAAUGAAUUAGGCUACAGGGGUGAGGCAUCCAGGGCCUCGAAAGAGGGGCGAAAAAAAAAAAAAUAAAAAAUAAAAAUAAAAAAUAAAAAAUAAAAAAAUCACGCGGUGGCAGGGCUUCUAGAAAUAGGUGCACAAAUCUCCCAGGAAUUCAUCAGCUCCUUCAACCUAUACACCCCCACGAGGGGGUCCAGUUGGAUGUUUCGAAAAAUCAGAUCGUUUCUAGCCUUCCACAUAAUCCACCAGCACGCAGCCAAUACAGAGAGUCUAUGCCUCGUAUUCUGUGAUCCUUUCUUAACCGACCACCUAUCCCAGAUAUGAAGAACAUCGUCUCCCAGCUCUGUCGCUUGAAUACCCUCUACUCCCAUCACCAUGAUAAACUUAGUGAAGACACAUUGGGCGAGCAGAUGGUUCACAGACUCGUCGUGUGAUCUGCACAGUACGCAUGCCGCGUCACCAGUCCAACCUCUCUUCGCGAGGUUAUCAGCUGUUAAAAGCCUCUUCUUGAGGACUAGCCAACAGAACACUUUAACCUUAAGAGGUAUACGUAGAUUCCAAAUUCUGUUAGCAUGUCCGUCCCUCAAACCCCGGUCACUCAACAUAGUAUAAGCCGAUUUGACCGAGAAUACUCCAUUGUUUGCCCAUCGCCAACGUAUAGUGUCCGGGCCUUGCGUUACAUUGAAUACAGUAACCCUAUCCUUGAGAGCCGCGAGGUUUGCACUUAACCCGGUCCUUAUAAUCAGCUCAUCACUCAACAUCCUAGUCCAGUUCCAGCCCUGACGGUCAAAACAAUCCUUGACCAUUACUAAUUUACGUUCCGUCAGUGCGUAGAUCUCCGGGAAAGACAAAUAUAAGCUGGUUUCCCCACACCAUCUAUCCGUCCAAAAAUCGAUAGAAGUCCCGUUACCCAGUAAGUGGGAAAUUCCCCAUUGGAACAAGGCACCGGUGUUAACCACUCCCUUCCACCAGAAUGAGUAGGGGCUGAAACUUUUUCCUUCCUUCAAAGGUCUUCUUCUUCGGUAAUACAGGGCUCGGAUUAUCUUGUUCCACUGUAACUGUGGCACGGUAUGGAAUCUCCACCAUCAUUUGAGCAGGAGUGCACAGUUCAUAAUAUCUAAAUCCAAAAUGCCCAGCCCCCCUUGUGUUUUACUCAAACAGACACUCUUCCAAGCCACCAAACAUCCCUUGCCUAGAGAGUUACUUUCACCGUUCCAGAAAAAGUCUCUGCGUAAGGCUUCGAUACGCUUGAUCACCCACUUCGGUGCCUUGUACACAGAUAGGAAGUAAAGGGGUAGAUUGGUAAGGACAGCAUUGACCAGGAUGAGUCUACCCCCUCUUGAGAGAAGUUUGGCUUGCCAUCCCUGAAUUCUGCGUUGAAUUUUCUGAAUGAUCUCUCUCCAUACCUCCUUUGUGGGGGGUCUAGGGGAAAGAGGAAAUCCAAGAUAAGUGGUUGGCAGGGUACCAACUUUGCAUUCCAGAAGGUUUGCUAGUUUUGCCGCCCUGCCCUCAACCUGCCCCAAGUAGUAGAGUUCGGACUUAUCUCUAUUGAUUUUCAUUCCCGAGGCCCACUCGAAGAGGCUCCACAUCAGUCUAAGGUUUCUCAUAUAUUUUUUCCUCGCCUCACAGAAGAGAAAAGUAUCGUCCGCAAACUGUAUGAGAGUAGUCAUACUUUCGUUGGAUGGGCCAAUCCCUUUAAGAAGAUUGUUACCAGUGGCCACAUUCGUCAUUUUGAGAGCACGAAUAAGUUGAAGGCCAAAGCUUUAGAGCUCGAGCAAGCUCAGACAGCACGAGAAAAGUCAGUCCAAUCGGGGUUGUAGAUCUGUCAUUCUUUGAUACUGUGAUAGAAGGAUUGAAAAAGGAGCUAAGUGGUGUUGAGGGAGUGGAUGAUUCAAGUUUAGAUAAUGAGAUCAUUCAUACUAAUAGCUAUAGUUCGGAAUAUCGGGGAUUGAAAGCUUUCGUGAAGGACCUGAGAACAAGAUUUAGAGGUUUGGAUGACGUUUAUAUGUGGCAAGCUCUUUGCGGAGCUUGGGGUGGAGUGAGCCCUAGUGCUACCAGUUUUGAUUUCGAUUCUAAGAUAGUUUCCGCAAUAGUCGCUCCUUGUCUCGCAGGGACUAUGUUCGAUGGUGCUUUGGUUAAAUGUUUAAGAUACGGGGUCGGUUUGGUUCAUCCGGAUCAGAUAGCCAGGUUCUACAACUCAAUGCAUUCAUAUCUUGCUAGUGCAGGCAUUACAGGGGUAAAAGUGGAUGUCAUACAUGUAAGUACCGAUCUAAAUCGUCAUCUUGAGUGUAAUUUUUCGGUCUCAGUUGUCAUUAUUAGCCUUUUUUUUUGUGAGUAAGUUGGCUGACAAACAUGUUCAAGUACUGCAGAUGAUUGAACUUGCUGGUGAAGAGUAUGGAGGUCGCGUCGAGCUCGCAAAGGCUUAUUACAAAGGACUUUCGGAGUCCCUUCGAAAGAACUUUAAUGGAACUGGACUGAUAUGUAGCAUGCAGCAUUGUAACGACUUCUUCUUCCUCGGUACUUGGCAGAUAUCAUUAGGAAGAGUAGGUAAUAUAUUUUGAACUAUCGAUCCAUCUUGAGCGGCUAUUCAUACUAGCCUUUGGUAUAACUUUUCUACUUAAGGAAGUACUCGCCUCGUGUUUUCUGGCAAACAAAGAGUGCGGAGCUUUAUCUGUAGCAAGAUACUAAAAUGAGCUUACGAGGCCUAAAAACAAAGGCUCCAAUUGCAGAAUUUGUAACCGAAAACUUGUUUAUAUUUCUUUGAACAACUCUACGUAAAGAAUGGUUAUGCAGAAGCUCAGUUGGACUGAAUGGGUUCUAAAAUUUUUGCUCAUGCAAAAUUUUGAGCAAUUUCUGCUUAAUUCGUCGUCAGGUAACGAAUCAUUUUUCCCAUCAGGUGAUGAUUUCUGGUUUAGGGAUCCAAAUGGGGACCCAACGGGGAUCUAUUGGCUGCAGGGGGUGCACUUGAUCCACUGCGCAUACAACAGCAUGUGGAUGGGUCAGACCAUACAGCCCGAUUGGGACAUGUUCAAGUCCGAUCACCCGUGCGCGAAAUUCCACGCAGGUUCGAGGGCCAUCUCCGGCGGACCGGUCUACAUGAGCGACUCCGUCGGGAGCCACGACUUCGAUCUAAUAAAGAAGCUUGUGUUCCCUGACGGAACCAUCCCCAGGUGCCAGCAUUUUGCUCUCCCUACAAGGGACUGCCUCUUUAAGAACCCCCUCUCAGAUGGAAAGAGCAUUCUCAAGAUUUGGAACAUAAACAAGGUACACAGGUUAAUUUAUUGAUACUUUUUUCAUGCAAUUACAAGCUUAUGGAGUACGAACUUCUCGGUUCUCGAUUUAUCGAACUCUUCUGUUGUAUGUGGUAUGUAUUCUCUCAACUGUGAUGUGUCCUCACAGCCUUUGUUCCAAUAUACUUGGUUUCUUGGUUCCAAGUCCCUGAUUCAGAAUACAUGCAGAAAUUUUUUCUGAUCUUCAUCAACUCCUCUGACGUAACACCGCAUGCGCAGUUUGGAGCAGUCGUCGGGGCCUUCAAUUGCCAGGGAGCAGGCUGGGAUCCGGAAGAGAACAGAAUAAGAGGCUACCCAGAUUGUUACAAGCCGGUCUCCGCCCGUGUCCAUGUCUCGGACAUCAAGUGGAGCCAGAAGAAAGAAACAAAGAACAUUGGCUACGCCGACGACUACGCAGUCUAUCUAAACCAAGCAGAACUACUGCAACUAAUGACUCCAAAUUCAGAUCCUAUUGAAGUCACACUCCACCCUUCCUCUUUCGAGAUCUUCACCUUCGUGCCGAUAACAAGUCUCGCGUUCGGCGUUAAAUUUGCGCCUGUUGGAAUGGUGAACAUGUUAAACUGUGGAGGAACUGUAGUUGAAGUUGAGAAUGGAGAUGUGGAUGAAGAACCAAGGGUUGUUAAGUUUAAGGUGAAAGGUGCAGGGGAGUUAUUGGCUUACUCGAGCGAAAAGCCGAAGAGAGUUUGUGUGAAUGGGGUUGAUGAGGAAUUUGAGUGGGUGAGAAAUGGAGAGCUGAGGAUGGACCUUUCAUGGGAGGGAGGAGAGUGUGGUGUCUCUGAUGUUGCUGUUGCUUAUUGAUGAAGCUCAAGAGCAUAUUUGUAAGCUCUUUGUGUGUUGUCAUUAUAUGCUUGGAGAUUUUGUAUUUUGUGUUCUAUGGACUAUUGGGAACUAAAUACAAAGCGUUGUACGUACAACUACUAUAUUAUCAAUAACACAAAUCGCUUCGUUUCAUCAAAAUUUUUAUCAUUAAAUUUACUCUCUUUUUUUUUGAUUAUUUUCACCGAUUAAAUAAUAUAUUUAUAGAAAAUAUCAAAUUUUGUGUGAGAUAUACCAUAAUACCAAUAAACAAAUUUUGUAAAAGGCGACUUCAAAGAUAAAAAGUGGGAAAUCAAAAUAAAACUCUAUUAAAAAUAAAAAUAAAAAUCCAUGUUACAAUUCACCAAAAUAAGACCUCUUACCAAUCAAAAACCUCUUUUUUCUCCCUUUUUUUUUCGGAUUGGGUCCUCAGAUUUAUGCUUAUAGUUCUCAUCAAGAUGAGUAUCAGGUCUCAAAGAUUUCAUGCCAUCAUAGGACCUCCCCUUUCCCUAAAAUAAAAUUGAAAAAAAAAAAAAACACAGACACACACACACAAAGAUAAGCAAUUUAACCAAGAAAAUUCUAAUAAUAAUAAAAGAAAAUUCGAAAAAAUUUCGGAGAGGUUAUUCGCUGCACCUCACGAGAGUAAAAGAGAGGCGAAGCGACUCAUAAUCUCCUGAAUUAUUUAAUUUCGCCCCCUGGAAAAAUCGAACCCUAAAAGGGAGAAGAGAAAGGGCUCAACUCAUCAAAGGGCUCGUUCGCUGAAAAAACGAAAGAAAUCGAAUUUAAUUCCACAGGAAAAUUUAAAAAACAAAGAUUAAUGAUGCAUCGCAUACUUGCCCUAAUUCUCUCGAACGGCGAUAAACGCCACUUCAAACCCCGAAGCGUCGUCGAUGGGUUUAUAUAGGGGAAUUUUUAGGGUUUAGAAAAAGAUAAAAAUUAAUUAUUUUUUUUAUUUUUUAUGUUUUUUUUUUUUUUUGGCUUUGGUUGUAAAGCCUAUUUUUUUUAAUCUGUUUCAUAUGAUGCCAUUGCCAGACCAGAGCUUGCUCUAAGUUAAUUUAACUUCUCUUACAUGCAAAUAAUUCAACAUUAAAAUAAAAACUCAUAUCUUGGGAUGCUCCACACAGGACUUUCCUUUCACGUAUCUUGGGCUACCACUUACUCCUAAACCUUUGUCAAAGUCAUAGUAUUUGCCGCUAAUUGAGAAGAUCGAUAAGAGGCUGGCAGGUUGGAAAGAAAAGUCUCUUUCCAGUGGAGGGCGGCUCGUCCUUCUCAACUCGGUCCAUUUUACCAUUCCCACUUACUUCUCCCCGGUUAUCCAGCUGCCGAUCUAGGUGCAAAAAGCCAUUGACAAAACCCGUAGAGGUUUCUUUUGGAGAGGCAAGAAAUUACAUAACGCAUUCCAUUGUCUUAUAAAGUGGGAAAAUGUGUGUCGCCCCAAACUUUUCGGCGGUAUUGUUGUUAGAAAUCUGAAGUGCAUGAACUCCGCCCUCUUAAUGAGGGCUCUUUGUAGGUUCCACAAUGCGUCGUCAUUACCAUGGGUCCAGCUUCUAAGGCAAAAACACUACAAACGUAAUCCGCUCUCACCUAGCAGCAGCCAGCAGGAUCCUCGCUGGAUGCUCCCCUAUUUGGAAGGCCCUUAUCAAUUUGGCACCACCCUUCUUUAUUUUUACAACUUUCCUACAGGCUAACGGGAAUUUUACCUCUUUCUGGCAUUCUCGUUGGUGCGAGGAAACCACCCUACAUGCCGACUUCCCUCACUUGUAUGCUGCGGCACGCCUGAAACAAGCGUCGGUCAAGGAAUGGAUUUCAAGGUAUGCCCAGCGGCUUAAUCGGGGCUUCACGUCUCCGCUGAAUGAGGAUGGUCCAAUUGAACUACAAUGCUUCUCUAAUCUUGUCGCUAAUACAUCCCUAUCAAGCGAGGAGGAUUCGAUUGUUUGGAGAUGGAGAAGAGAUGGGAAAUUCAUAGUCCACAGUGCUUACAACUUUCUCAUUUUUGGGGGAGUCAUAGAUCGUUCGAUCUCUUAUCUUUGGAAACUAAAAGUACCCCUCAGGAUCAAGUUUUUUCUUUGGCUGGCCUUAAGGAAUAGGGUUCUAACAGCGGAGAUUUUGUCCAAACGUGGCUGGCAGGGACCGUCGAUUUGUGCUCUAUGUUGCAAGAAUGAAGAAAAGCUGGAACACUUACUGUUUGAAUGCACGUUCGCAAUGAACCUGUGGACCAAUCUACUACAUGGCAUGCCAAACACUAUGCACACUCUGUUAAAUCAACUUGGAGAUCUUUCGGCCAGAUGGAAUCGAGCCAGGAAAUCACAAUCGGGACAAGCUAAAAUUAUCUUCGAUCUCUGCUUCGCUGCGACUUGUCGAGAAAUUUGGAAAGAAAGAAACUCUAGAAUCUUUGACAACCGAGAAGUGGGAUGUUGGGAAGUGGGUAACAAAGUCUUUUCCUCUGUUAUUCUCUGGAACUCAACUCGGUGUAGAUAGUGAGCAACGAGGAGGAAUUCUACACUGUCACACUUGCACCACGUCAUCAAUAACAAGCCAAUCACAUUUCUUCUUUUCAAACAAAAGUAUAAUAAAAAUACUUUUUUACAAUCAUGAUGGAACAUAUAUUCUUAAAAGGAUUAAUUUGAUUGCUUUGUUACGCCACGUCACUAGUAUACCCGUUGCAUUCUAGAAUUUUUCAGCAACGAGGGUGUGCCCACUCUUUCAUGCUCUACUAUCUAUGAUUAAUGUACUUUCUCAAAUAGCCCCCCGCCCCCCUGUUUAAUCAAAAAAAUAAAAAAUAAAAAAUAAAAACUCAAUUACACCACUAAUAAGUUUUUGUUUAGUUCAUGAAAUAAAAAUAACAAAUGAAAUUAGAUUAUUUUGAAAUGGGAAAUGACAUUAUGAAUCAUCCAAAUAUUUGGCUCGUUAUUAGAAUGAAAAUCGGAAUGAAAAUUUUGGAAUUUUAAAAGAGAGUUUUAAUUGAGAGAGAGAAAAGUGAUUAAAAAAGAGGAGGUAAGUAUUGGUGAAAGAGGAUUUUUAAUAAUUUACUUUAGAAUAGAUCUAUCCAAAAUUCAAAACCGAAUUCGACCAUAAAUAAAUUUGGUCAUUUUCAUUCCGGAGAGGAAUGAGAACCGGAAUCUAAUUUCUAUAAAGCAAGGCAACUAUCGGAAUUAAUAAAUUCCAUUUCAAUUCUAUAGUCUGAAAUAAGUAAACAAAAUAUGCCCUAAAUAAAAAAAAAAAAUCGAAUCUCAUAGUAGUUUUUGGACUACCAAACCUGUAAAAUCUUUUAAAUAUAAAAAUAAGCAUCCAAAAUUUUAUUUAUAAAAAUAGACGGAUAAAAACGGUGAAUUAUUCACCGUUUUUAUCCUAAUUUAUAUGUUUUCUAUAUCCAAACUUCAAAAUAUGUAUAGUAUUAAAUACUAAAAAUAAUUUUAAUCAUGCAACUUCGAUCAAUAAUAUUAGCUGAAUUCAAAUAUUCCAGAUCAAACACGAUAUUUGUACUUAUACAUAUAGUUGUAAGUAAAGGGCCAUUUGGUUCAAGAUUGAUAACAUUCAUGAAAUAUUUUUUUUUGAGAGAAAGGUAGCAUGCUACCGCUUCAUUCAGUAAGAAGAUGAAUUUAGCAACAAAGUAAAGCAUCGUGGCUUCGCAAACGAGAAAAAAUAAUAAUAAUAAUAAUAAUAAAGUAAUAAAAAAAAACCACUAAACACAAUAAUGAUCCCACAUAUUCUUAAGUGUGUGUACGUCCACCAACAGCUGUCUCAACGAAAGUUUUUUGCGGUCGAAAAUUCUUCUAUUUCGCUCUAACCAUAAAGCCCACCAGGAAAAGGAGAUGAUAGUUAGCUCCUUCUUUCCUACUAUGCCCCACUUAUCGCUACUAUCCAUCCAAAGCUCUCUGGCUGAGCUAAAGACGCUUAAGGCCUUUUUAUUCGGCAGUAAACAAGCCAACAAAUCGCUUGAAAAACGACAUCUCAGAAAGAGAUGGUCGACCGUCUCAAGUUCGUCGAAACAGAGCACGCAAUUCGCCUCUCCCAACCAUCCUCUUUUCAAAAGUUUGUCCCUCGUAAGUACCUUUUGCUUUAACACAAGCCAUCCUAAAAUUUUGACUUCAGGGGGAUUUUGAUUUUCCACAGCCGAGCGAAGCUUCUAUUCUUAAUUCCACCAUCUUGCAAGAAGUAAUAGAGAGAUUUAACCAUGAAAUUUCCGGAUUGACUCCAUCUCCAAGAUGCUUCAUCUCCGUUGACCGUUAAGGUAAAACUGGAGAGUACCGCCUUCAGCUCUACAAUAGAUUCUCGAUCAGGUUGAGAUCCAGGGAAAAAUCCCUUAAGGAUCUUAUGCCACUUCCAACCGUUUCUACCGUAGCAAUCAUUCACCCGACAGUUUUUCCAAUCUACCUUACUGAAAAUUCAUGGGAAAAGAGAUCUGAGAGAGCACUGUCCACUCCAUCUGUCCAUCCAAAAACUCACCAUGUUUCCAUCCCCGAUUGUAUAGUGAACUCCACACUUAAAGAUGUCUCUUGUCGAUAAAACACUUUGCCACCAGUGGGAGUAAGGUCUAAAGGUUACCUCUUCCCACAGGGGUUUCCUUCUAGAAUAGUAUACCCCUCUGACGAAAGCGUUCCAUUGCUUAUCCUUAUCCACUAGGAACUUCCACCACCACUUUGCUAGCAAGGCCUUGUUCAUAGCCUUCAAGUCUUUAACCCCAAGGCCCCCUUCUUCUUUACAUCUACAUACCAUUCUCCAGCGUACCAGACAAUGUCCCCCAGCUACAACACUUCUUCCUUUCCAGAAAAAGGCCCUCCUGAGGGCUUCUAAUCGUUUAAUGACCUAUCUAGGCGCUUUGAACACCGAGAAGAAAUAAAGAGGUAAGUUAGAUAAAACAAAGUUGAUAAGUACAAGCCUUCCUCCGAUCGAGGGGAGGUUUGCUUGCCACCCUUCAAUUCGUCUCUCGACUUUCCCUAUAAUAGGCCACCAUUCUGCUUUAUUUCUUCUAGUCGCGAGUGGAAGACCAAGAUAACGUGCCGGGAAUGAUCCUAAUUUACAUCCCAGAAUAACAGCUAGCCUUUCUCCCCAAUGUUGUAUAUUUAUAUUAAGAAUAGCAAGUAUAUUAUUAACUUAUUAAUUUACUUAAAGAAGAGGAUAUUGAGAACUAGUAUAUUAUUACUACUGGACUAUUGAUGAUUUUUAUAAUCAGAACACCUCGUGCUUCAUAAUAAUCUAAUAUUUGUAACAUCAAGUAAUUUACAAUAGUUUUACUGUCUCGCUAACGUCAGUCGGAUUGUUGAUGCUAAUCAUUAAUACUGAAAGUUUGGGCUAUUAGAAAAAUACCUAACUAAUUCACUUAAAACAUACUUGGUCGGUAGGUCCAAUUUGGCAUCUUGCCACAGGACAAUAUGUUGAUUUCUAUCGAACAUGUGACCUCUGAUUCUGAUAUCACUUGUCAGAUCGUUGACACUAACAAUUAAUACCAAAAACUCGACUUUUUAGAAAUACGCAACCAAUUCACUUAGGGGCUGUUUGGUUUCACGUAUUUGCAACUGCAGUGCAGUUGCAAAUGCGUGCAACCUCAAUUUCUUUGUUUGGUUUAGUGUAGUUGAGUUCAACUACUGCAGUUCCAACUACACAAGAAGGUCCAAAUGCUGCAGUUGGAACUACAUCCAAAUUGGCCGUAGUUCCAACUGCAGCAGUUGGUGAGGGAUAGGAUCACCCACAAAUUAACAAUAAUAAAUAAAUAAAUAAAUAGCUAAAUAAAUAAAUAAUAUAUGUAUAUAGGUAAAUAAAAAUACUUGUAAAUAAACUCAUACUAAUAAAAUUUUUUAGACAAUACAAGCUUUGUGCAAAAAAUUAAAUUUUUUAAAUUUAUUUUAUUUAAAAUAUAAAUAUAGUUUUUUUAAAAAAAUUUUAUAGAAUGUGAUCGUGUAUGUUAAUUUAAUAAGUUUUAAUUAAUUAUAAUUAUUAAAUUUGAUAAAAAAAAUGAGAGAAUCGUUUAAAUUUUAAAGUUUGAUUUACAUAUUAAAAUUAAAUAAAUUAAAAAUUUUAAAUGUGUCGAUUAAUAAGUUGAAGAAUAUUAUAUAUAUCUACUUAUUUAUUUAUAAAUAGUAAAUUUAAAUGAUUAAUAAACUUAUACAAUUAUUUUAUGUUUAGUGAAGGUAAUCUCACCACUCUAUCUGAAAAGGUGACAAAAUUCACAAAUACAACUAUCAGCUUCAUAUUACCAAACAGAAGAAAUGUAACUGCAGCAGUUGCAACUGCGUAAAACCAAACAGACUAGGUGUAGUUACAACUGCAGCAUUUGCAACUGCAUGUAUUUCCAACUACACUGUUUCUGCAACUACAUCCAACCAAACAGCCCCUUAGAGUGUACAGGUAUAGCGCCAACGGGUCUUGAUUGUAAUUCAAUCCAAUCAGUCUCAUGUCAUUUCGAAUGUGACUUUGUGCAAACCAGUCUUCUGUCAUAUCAAACAAGACUUGACCCAGUCCAGCCGUUGACCACAGGGCAGAUAACUAUCUAACUUAAUAAUUUAAAUAUUUAAAUAUGAAGAAUUGUGAAAACGGCGCUUGUAAGUUGUGAAUCGUGAACAAUUGGGGCGUAAAGAAAGUAUCUGCAACCAACCGGCGCGUGUAAUUUUCUAACCUGACCUUAGAUUCUGGAGCUCACUAAAUAAUAGUGAUAUAAAUACAAAAUUAGCUCAAAAAUAUGGCCCUGCUUUUUUGCAACCCAACUUUCCAGGACCACAAGUCCCAUUCCCUCGUAUUACGUCCGCCCAUACGCACGCCAACAACAAAUUCCCAAUUCCCAAUUCCCGAUUCUCAAUUCCUAACCACAAAGCAUCUGAUUCGAACCAGGUCCAACGCGGGCCCACCGCGCCACACCGAACCGGUGACGUCACCAAACACGUCUUCUCUUUUGGACCGCGAAACCCACCGUGUUCUCCAAGCUUCGACCACGGAAAUCGGUGCAUGCACCCGGUGCGGCCGCAAAUUGAUUACUGUAGUUUAAGCAGUGGUAGAAUAAUAACAAUUGUAUUUGUACUUACAAUUGGAUAAUAACAUAUUUAAAUAUAUUUAUAGCAUUUUUUUGAAAUUGAUAUUUAAAUUAUAGCAUACUUUUAUCUGUAUUAAUCUCAUUAGUUCAGAGGUUUAUUGCUUUUUUAAAAAAGUUGAAUGGUUAUAUAGAAUGUACGGAUGCACCCGGUGCAGGCAAUGAACUGACCUUUUUUCUACACUCCCCUCUACUAUAAAUAAAGAACCCGAACCCCUUCCCCUCUCUAAAGUAUAGCAACCCACCCCGGAAUAUCGCCCCUCCAAAUUAGCAGGAGAGCGACGCGCUAUUUGUGUGUGAGAGAGAGAGAGACAGCCCGAAUCCCCUCGAAUCUUCGCGAAGCCCCACGAUGUGCCCCUCCGAUCGCCACCCCCGCGGCGGCGGCGCCGCCUCGCCGGACCUCCGCCCCGCCUUCGACGUCCUCGACGCCGACCAUGACGGCCGCAUCAGCCGCGACGACCUCAAAGCCUUCUUCUCCUCCGCCGCGUCCCCCCUCACCGAGGACGACAUCGUCGCCAUGAUCUCCGCCGCCGACGCCGACCGCAACGGCUUCGUCGACUACGAUGAGUUCGAGCAGGACGGGGCCCGGCGGCGGCGUGAUGGAGGAGGCGUUCCGCGUGAUGGAUCGGGACGGGGACGGGAAGGUGGGGUUCGAGGAUCUCAGGGCGUACCUGGAGUGGGCGGGGAUCCCCGCGUGCGACGACGACGUGCGCGCGAUGAUCCGCAUCGGCGGCGGAGACGGCGCCGACGGGGUCUGCCUCGACGCCCUCGCGAGGAUCCUCGCCGUCGAUUUCGCCUAGGGUUUCGCGACAAACGAUCGGCGAGUUCCUUCCCUCUUCCUCCGCUCGACUUUUUCUUCUCCUUUUUUUUUUUGGUUGAUGGUGGCAAUUUCGGGAAUAAUUAGAAUGUCUUCUCUGUAUACAGUUGUAUCAAAAAAAACUCAAAUAUUAUUGUGUUGAAUUAGAAUCUAUAUUUCCCUGGAGAUUAUGUUUCAAUGUUACCAGCUUUCCAUUUGAAGCAAUUGUAUUUCGAUUGUCAAUUCUGUUUUUUUUUUUUUUUUUUGGUGAAUUGGCGAGAGUCUUUAGAUGGGCCCCACCCUGUGUGUACGGUGGACUCCUCGAUGGUGUUAUUCUUGUCGCUUCCGCGAGUAAAAGUGGAAGAAAACAAAGCGGUCCUGAUCAGAUUAGAGCUCCGUGUCGAUUCUCACCGACCACCAUUGAUCAUUGUUCAUGUUUUUAAUCGGUUGAUUAAAAAUUUGAUGAUUGAUAUUUAAAAUCUUAAAAUUUAAAUUUAAUUAUUUUAUAUUUUUAGUUGAGUUUGGUUUUAAAAGAUUGAAUAAAAUAAAUAGCUUAUCUAUUUUUCUCUGGAAAGGAAAAAAAAUGGUGAAUGAAAGGUCAAAACUUGUCGACUAUAGAAUCUUCAAAAAUUGCUUUUCUAAUUUCGUCCUAAUUUUGGGCUUGUUUGAAUGUUCAAAUUAGUUAUCUUAUUUGGUGAGAUUUUUUCUUGUACAAUGAUGUAUUUUAACUCAUUUGAAAAAUCCAUGUCCUCUCUUAGCCAUUUGGUCCCACUCUCUAUCUAUUAAAUAAUAAAAAAAAUAAGUAAAUUAAGAAAAAAAAAUACUGAGUAAGACAUUGAUGUAGCCUAACGGAAUCUUCAUAUCCAAGUACCUGAGUAAUAUUUUUGUGUAUAUAUAAAAAUUUGAAAAAGUACCAAAAUGUGCUCGCUAAUGACAGCAUUAAUCUAGUACAGUGGACAUCUAAUUUGAACUCCAAGACAAAACAUAUCGAAGAGAAAAUACAUGGCGUCGAAAAAAGUUUUAGGGUGAGAUUCGAACUUAGGAAAGUGAUAAUACCGAAAGCCAUUUCGUAUUAGGGGUAGAAGCUUCGGUGUCCCACUUUGGCGAGAACAAUGGAAGGUGAGAUUCAAACCUAUUCAAAAUUCAAAAUUCAAAAUUCAAAUAGUUCACACCAAGAGAAAAAGUGAGGCGAGCGACUCAAAAGCAGUUCUGGAGGAAGAUAACGCACUAGAUAAAUUAUUCUGAUCAUGGUGACUAGAGGAGUGUAAAAUAGAGAGAGAACUAAAGAUAAAGAGAUCCAAAUACCAUCUUAAAAAACCAAUCAUUUAUCUUUGAUCCUAGGAAUAGCUGUAGCGGAACUUAGCAGUAAUCGUGACUUUGAGAUCUUUCAUUCACAGAACGUUACACUUUACGUUCUUCGUCCUGACCCACCCCGAUCGUCAUGCCGGACCAUCUUAUUUUCCACUGACAAACGCCUUUUCGUGUUGCACAUCUUCACGAUGUGUAGAAUGAUGCUUUGAACACCGCUAUUGUAUAGCGGCCUCAUUUAGUUUAACCUUAGUUUGGAUCAGCGGUUGAAACUUGAUUAACCAAAAUUUUCAGACUUCUGCUAGCAGUCAAAGACCUCAAGAUUGUCUGCCGAUAUUUGGACCUUAUUCGACCGUUCUCUUUCUGAUUCGUCUCCGAGAUAAACUCAAAUUCUACGUGCACAUCGAGGUUGUCUAAAAAUGGAUGAAUCGAAUCAUUCCACGUGUUACCCUACAAUUUCUCUGCCAACAAGUACAAUAUUGAAUGAUCAAGUUUAUUAUUUUUUACUAAUUUCAUAUGAACUCCUUUAAAAAUCUAAGCUUUUUUUUUUUUUUCUUUCGAGAGAUAGGUAGGCACGCUAUCCGCUUCGUUUAUUUCAUUUAAAAAUAAAUUUAGCUAGAAAUGUGAAUCAACUAGAAUUCGAACUUGGGUCUCGGAUACCAACCACCAAGUCCUUUACCACUUGCUCUAGGGACGGUCGGUAAAAAUCCAAAUUUGUUAUUCUCAUAUAUAUAGAGAGAGAGAGAGUUCAACUAAAAAUCGAGAAUACUAUUAAUAAUAUAUGAAUAAUAAUAAUUAUUUAUUAUUUAUUUUUAAAUUAUUAUUAUUCUACUAAUCUUUCAUUAAAUUUUACACAUUUAGCGGUAAAUAGUAAAUAAAUACUACUCACAUAAAAUUAAUAGUAUAUUUAUAUUUAUUUGGAUAAGGCGAUUUUUGUGAUUGUACGUUGCCAAACGUCCGAGCCAUGUAACGCGUCCACGUGGCAACUCGCCGCUCUGUUCGAUUCAUCACCACCGAUCGCCUUCAAAACGGAGACCACCACUUCGUAAUCCUUGAACGCAGGGGCAUUAUAGUCAUUUCAGUCGCCCGCAGUCCCCAUAUUUAUUUCCAUCGUCGCGACUCAACGAGCGCGAAACGCGCGAGGCGAAAGCAUGGCGCUGCGGCUCACCACUCCGAGCGUUUCACCCAUUUCUUUCCCAAACUACCCUCGGAAAACCCCCAAUUUCCCUCCUCUGUCCCGCGUCGUCUUCCUCCUCCUCCGCCCCCGCACUUACCCGGCCAAAACCCUAGCUCCGCCGCUCCCCGCACGGCGGAGCGGCGGCGCCGUCCCCCGCGUUUCGCCGCCGCAGCAGGAGCAGCGAGUGGAGGAGGAGAUCGCUCGGGAGGAGGCGAAUGGGGGCGAGUGGGGUAAGGUCUCCGCCGUCCUCUUUGACAUGGAUGGCGUCCUCUGCAACAGCGAGGAGCCCUCGCGCAUGGCGGCGGUCGACGUCUUCGCCGAGAUGGGCGUCUCCGUCACCGUCGAGGACUUUGUCCCUUUCAUGGGUACCGGUAAUGUUGUUCCCUUCCUUUUCUCGAUCAGUAUGCGAUGGAGAUAUCGAACAUUUCUACUGUAGGUUUCAAGAACUAGGAAACGAUUCUUUGAUUCGCCAUAUAUGUUUUCACGAUUCUGAAUUAUGCUGCGAAACCGCUGCUAUUCUACUCCUAAAGCGUAGAGAGGGGUUUGAGAGGGGUUUUGGGUUCGAGUUCCAGUUCAAGGGAUUGUGCAUUAUGAUAGGUCGCUAAAAAGAGCAAUAGAUUUUGGACUGUGAUGUUAAAAUGACAAAUAGAAUCGUUGCCUUCUUUCUGUUCUUGCGGUUAAUUGUAUAUUAGAUGAACGUUGCAGGUGAGGCCAAUUUUCUUGGUGGUGUGGCUUCGGCCAAGGGAGUGAUAGGAUUUGAUCCGGAAGCAGCAAAGAAACGAUUUUUUGAAAUCUACCUUGAUAAGGUUAUACCAUUUGCAUCGGCUACAACAUUUUUUAAUUCCUUCAAAUGUAGUCCUGCAUUUCCCUAAAUCCAUGUUUUCUCUUCCAAAGGCUGAAUCUUGUUUCUUUUUUUUCUUGAUUGCAGUAUGCGAAGCCUAAUAGUGGAAUCGGAUUUCCAGGGGCGCUUGAACUCAUCAUGGAGGUAUAUACCUAUUGAAUUAGGUUUUCUAAUAUUAUGUUGAUUUAUAAUCAUGUAAGCGAUCAGUUCCUUCCACUUGAAUCCAGUGCAAAAGAGCUGGGCUUAAGGUUGCUGUUGCGUCGAGUGCUGACAGGAUCAAGGUGGAUGCAAAUUUAGCUGCCGCUGGUUUGCCUGCAUCCUUGUAAGUGCUUGUUCUUCUCUAUUUGAUUCAGUUACCAGAUAGUCAUUAUGUUAUGGUGGCUCAUCUUAUUUUAGGUUCACUGUUUAUUGAGGUGCUUAUUUGCACAAACUUCCUGAACAGCUUCUUGAGUACGGCAAGCUGAAAAUCUUGAGCUCAUUGCCAGUGCACGAAGACAAAAUUAGCUUUUGGGCCCAUUAUUCUAUUUGAUAAAUCACAUUUGCAUGCUUAUCUCUAAAGUAGUCAUUGAUAGCAUUACUCCUUUCCUGUGUGAGACGAAUAUCUAUUCCUGCUACUAUAUCUGUUAGAGACAGUUUUAAUUAGCGAUCAUUACAACUGCUCUAGCAAGUCGGAACUAUUAAAACUGACAAGUAUAUUUCCCUUUCACUGGCUUACUGUUCUUACUUGUUAUCUCAUCAAUUUUUAUUGUUUCUGAUAGUAAUAUGAAACCUGCUUUGAUUGCUAGAUUUGAUGCGAUUGUUUCUGCUGAUGCAUUUGAAAAUCUCAAGCCUGCUCCAGAUAUAUUUUUGGCAGCAUCAAAGAUCUUGAACGUAGACCCUAGUGAGGUAAUUUGUGUCAUUCGCCAUAGAAAGAAUAAAAGAUUAGAACCCAAUCUCUUUUAGGCAGUUUCUUCUUAGGAUUUGAAUACCAUAGCUUUAAGUUUCUUCCUUCAUUUAGCUUCCACUGGUUAGAAGCAAUAGUAGCUUUCUCCCUUUUCUCUUUAAAGUUUUAACAAAUAUCUUGCUGGUAGUGACAGAUUUUCUAGUUUUAAAAUAUUAAGUUUCUAUUCAGCUAUUUUAUGAUUUUUUUUCUUUUUCCCUUACAUUUUACCGUUUUGGAGCUUGCAAUUAGAUUUUUCUAUCAAGAGGCUUAAAGCUGCUGCCUGCUAUGUUUGAUCUGCAAAAUUCUUCCUUUCUAAGUGGAUAAAACCACAGUUGCUUUAUAUGAAAAUAAUAUUUGUUCUUGUUUUGCAUUUUCAAUCUAAUAACGUGCUUUUUCUUGAGGAAAAUUGAGCUGAUAUUUACAUUGCUUUUUGUGUCAUUUUGUAUCAGAGUAAAAAAUUAUAUCAUUUGGUAUAAGAGUCAAAAACUGCAUACGGACUCUGGCACAAAUCUUUUCUCGAAGCUAUACGUUUCAGUCAAUUUCCUACUCAAGGUAUCACUAAAUUUUUGACAUCAAAUUGUGUUCAGUGUCUUGUAAUAGAAGAUGCUCUUGCUGGAGUUCAAGCUGCAAAAGCUGCUCGAAUGAGGUAUGCAUCAGCCAUUGGAUGAUAUUAACUUUUAAUUAAUUAAUUGUUGGAGGGUGGUGUAAAACAAUAGAAUACAAACACAUAUACUCUAUGACUCUGUGUGAGGUUCUUAUUUCUGAAAAACUUUGUGUGGCUUAGUCAUGUUGUUUCUAUACGCUUAACUAAUGUGAUAUACAACCAGAUUUGUUCCUAUAUUUAUGCUUCUCAAGUCUAAAUAAUGUAUGUGCCUAUGUGGACAUUCUCUUUUAUUAAGAUAUGAGUCUUCAACUGUCAAAUCCUUUGCAGCCAAGGGCAAGCUGAGAAUGUGUGGUUAAAUACCCAUGCAUUCUGUAACAUGUGCCGAAGGCCCAUAUGAGGCAGAGAAGAUGCUUCAAUGCAUCUCAAUGGGGAGCACCCCUGUACAUGCCAAUAACUAAUUGGCCCAGUAGGUUGCAUGAUGAUUAAACCUUUGCUUUUCUCUGGAUGGCUGCCACAUAGUAGCAAAUAUGUCAAGCCUUGGAUUAAUCUCUCCUUCUUUCUACAUGUAAUGAGAUUACCCUUUUAUGAUCAGGUGGAUCUAGGAAGAAGUUUGUUAUUAGAUCCUUUUCUGAAUUAUGCUGUAUCUUUUGCCACAGAGUGUAGAACUUUGAUCAGGAUUUUUUCAAUUACGCCUCCUUUGAAGCACAUUUAUCCACCUCAUGUCUCUGUCCUGCGAUUACUGUGUGUCUAGUCAAAGCUUUUAAAUUGUUUACAUUACUCAUUUGUCACAUCAUCUCCACUUUGCAUAAUGUGGCUAGUCAGUAAUAUGGCCGCAUAGAAACUACUAUGUUAAUCUACCGGACAAGUUCUUCAGGUUUCUCUUUUUAAGUAGUUCAACAUAGAAUUAUUAUAUAACUUUCUGAUCUUCCUGUUGCACUCCUUGCAGAUGUGUUGCUGUAACAACAACUCUAACGUACGAGGAAUUACAGCAAGCCAGUCCAUCACUAAUCAGAAAAGAUAUUGGAAAUGUUUUGCUUAAUGACAUUUUGUACGGUGGUCCUUCUGGUCGCAGUAUGUAGUUUAAACAGAAAAAAACAUUGAUUAUGUUUAUGAAUAAAUGAUUUAGAAAUUUCCUGGAAAUUGAGUUGCUGUUUACUGUUCUUUCUUUCUCCACUUGCUGAAUGGCAAAUUUGAUAUGUUCUGUGCUUAAGUAGAAUAUAAUUUUGAUGACGUUGCUUUAAAUUGUUGCUAAUGGUCAAGAUAUGCUUGGGCACAAUUAAGUGCUGAUGAGAAGAAGUUGCUGCAGAUGGGAGGAUGCAAAACCCUCAGAAUAUUAGUUCUUUAGGAAAAUCUUCUUCAGAGCAGCUGAAUGGGGCCUUAAGCACUGAUUUUGCUCAGGAAAUCAAUGCUGAAAGUGAGAAAGGCCAUUUUCUUGGAGGGUAAGGUCAGUUCACCUGCUCUUCAGAAUGGUCAAAUUUGUUUAUAUGCGUGUUUGCCGAAUGAAUUUUAUAACUCUGCUUACAGUUAUUACUACAUUUUUCUUAGUUUAAACUUUAAAGAUAAAUAAAAAACUAGGCUGCUCAUACGUCUAAAUCUCCUUUUUGACUCCUAAUAUAAUGUCUAAAAGUCUGCUUGAUUCUAAUUCAACUUUUGUAAUCUUCAUUUGUUGUGAACUGAUGUCGAAGAACUAACAAAGUAAAAGCUGUAUAUUGGGGCUGUAGUUACCUUUUAAUGUAACAUCUAGGUUUCAGAAAUGAUCUGUUGGCAGGUUGCAGGGUUCUCGUCGUGACAUUUUAAGAUAUGGAAGCUUGGGAAUUGCUGUUUCUUCUCUCAUCUUCACUAUUAGCAAUUGGAAGGUAAAGAUGCUGUGAUAUAUGAUUCCUAUUAUUAGGUUUCAUCACCGAAAAUGAAACUAUGACCAUAGUAACCAUAACACAUAUGUUCCUACCUCAGAUUCUAUAUUUCUUAUGUGCCACUUUGAGAGGCCUAUUUAAGAUAGAUGCCGUGAUCUAGUAGAGAAUGUAAAACUAACUUGACUCUCUAUAGAAAAGUUGUCUCAAACCAGUAUACGAAUGUUCAAAAUCCACUUUUCAACGACAGAUUCUUGAUUCUGGACAUCAAUCAAUAAAUAUUUGUAGUUCUCGUCUUUUGCCAUGUGGACAAAAAUUGAGAUACUCUGGACAAAAAUUGAGAUACUCCUUGAAAUCUUCAGUUGCAAGAAUUGUUUAUAUUGUAUGAAUAGCUGUGUGAUGAAAUUUAGGUUUUCUGCAGUUGAAUAAAUUCCUACAGUUUUCGGUUCUUUUAGUAUGAUGUAACAAAAUGAAGAAAAAGAUUGAUCCUUGGGUUUAACUGAUAUUUGUACUAUGAAAACUAGUAAUUUUAUCAGCUUAUCUAGUUCGUGCCCACUGCCCACAAACACUUCAAUAGACAAGAUUUGAUGCCCUAGCAAGUUGCAUAGAUGUCAAAACCAAAAUUAUGUUAGACCACUUUCUAUGUGUAACUUCAAUUUAGACUAGAAGUUUGGUUGCAUUCUUAAGCACUCUUUUGUGUUCUUUCCUUGGUAAUAUUCUACCGAUGUGUUGGUUUUGUUUAUGCAGGCAAUGCAAUAUGCAUCUCCUAAAGGUCUUCUGAAUUUUUUUAAGGGCAAUAAUCGCUCUAUUUUGGGUCAGAAUGAAGGUAUGGUGUGUCUGUGUGAGUCAUAGCUGUGAGUUAUCUCAUGUCGCUUCCUGUUUUUUGCUCGUUGUUUUACUAUAGAGAGUGUUUUAAUGGUACAGUUCUACAUGAAUACAAGCCAGAGAGCUAAUUUAUAAGUAAUAAUAUGCGAAAUAACAUUCCAAAAAGUAUUUUGCUUCGGUGCGGCAGAAACAAGGAUGUCUCAUGGCAACUGAUGAAUUAUGCUUAGUAUUACCGGCACCAUAAGCCCAAGGCAUUUGAUGCAGUGGGAAUAAAUCUUUUUUUUUUCUUUUCAAUCCUUCACCUUUCUUGACUUUGUAUGUGGGCAUGCCAAAACUAAGCACACAGUUUACUGACUGUAGGAGACUCGCGAUCGUCAAGGAUACAACAAGUUAAGAACUACCUGGCAGAUUUAGAAGCUAGGUAUCUACAAUUUUUUCUCACAUUUUUGCUUUUGUCGAUGUUAAACUUUUUGUUCAUUUUUCUGAAGAUUUUUUUUUUCAUUUUUUAUUUUUUUAAGGGGCUCUGCUUCAAAUGUUCCCGAGUUCCCACCGAAUCUUGACUGGUUGAAUACAGCUCCACUUCGGUUUCGCACGGUAGCUUAUAACUUAUCUGAUUAUAAUUUGUAUUUUAUCUCUUCUUUAUCUGUUGGAACCCUUCUUAUAACUUCUUAAUUCGAACUGGGACUUCUUAAUUGGAACUGGGAUCUAUAAAUCUGUUCUAGUGAAGAGCUUUCAAAUAGAUGCAAAUGCAUUAGCAGUUUUAAAUCCAAGUAUAAUGCAAUCUAUUAGAUUAGUGUUGCACAGUUGCGAAGAGUAUUGCUUAUGUUACUUAGAUUACCGACAUAUAUUUGUCUGCAAUUAAUAUAUAGCAUUUAUUUGACUUGAACACUUAUGAUUAUUCAUGUGUAACUUCAUUUUUGUAUUUGCUGCAGGAUUUAAAAGGCAAGGUAGUUCUGUUGGAUUUUUGGACCUAUUGCUGUAUCAACUGUAUGCAUGUGCUACCAGAUCUUGAAUAUUUAGAGAAGAAGUAUAGUAAUAAGCCUGUGAGUUAUCUCUCUUUCUUGAUUGAGUUUAUCGUCUUCUAAGUAGAAUAUAACUCUGUAAGUGCUUUGUAUUCUGGUGAGCAAGUGGAUUAAUUAUAUUAGUCUCUGUAGUUGAAAUCUAGGAGAUUUCCUUUUCUACACGGUUCACGUUAAGAGAAUAUCCAGAAAUUUAGGCUAUUCUUGUUUUCUUUAUUUAGCUUGGGAAAAAAAGAAAAAAAGAAAAGAAAAGAGUUAGUACUAGGAUUUUGUUUUUUUUUGUUGCUAAACAUACUCCAUAACUGUACAGAUUACAAAUUAUUUGCCAUCCGUUGGUGUAUUUAAUGCAUAAAAUUUAAGGUUAAUAAAACAAAAGAACGAAAGCAUCAGCAAAUGAGGCCUAAGCUUUUUGUUUCAUAUAAAGACUUACUAACUUUCCCUGAGGCUUGAAAAUUUUGUUUUAGGAUUUUCCGUUAUUACUUCUUUUUAGGUAUCUAUGAUAUACUCAUGUAAUCCUUCUGUACGAUUUUUCAAGUUCCACAAUGCUUGUUCUAUCGCCUAAUAAUAAACAGGACUUAUUCUGUGCAGUUCACUGUUAUUGGUGUACAUUCUGCCAAAUUUGAUAACGAAAAAGACCUUGAAGCCAUACGAAAUGCAGUUUUACGCUACAACAUCACUCACCCUGUAAGUCAGCAAGUUAAGAUGAGCAGAAUAAUUGCAUCACUAUUUGACUUUCUGAAUUUAAAUAUUUUUUACUAUUUACAAAUUUUCCUUGUUAUCCUUUUUGAAUUCAAAUGUACCAAUGAUGUGCUAACUUCUAUUGAAGUAUCCUGUUUGCUUUUUUGAUCUCGAAACUUUGCUGAGAAGGGCAUUCUUCAGUUUUUACUAUUUACUUUUUGAUCUUUCUACUAUUUAUUGGACUAGUAAUUGCUGGAAUUUCAUGAACUCUACUCUGUCAGAAUAGUAUUCAUAUACUGCAGGAAUUACACACUUGAAAGAGGCUUGAAUAGAAUUUGAUGGGAGCAUAAAUGUUUAAUGAUCACUAUGCUGAUACUUGCCAACUCAAUGACGAAGAAACUACGUUGUUACAAUUUCUUCUACACUUAAAAAGCAAAGUUUUCACUGCUUAUACAUACUGGUCAAAUAAGUUAUCUUAUAUUUUAUCAUGCACUCGUCCUGUGUUUUAUUUGAUCAUAUAUAUUUUUAAAUGCUGUUCAAGGUUGUUAAUGAUGGUGAUAUGUACUUGUGGAGAGAAUUGGGAGUAAAUUCGUGGCCCACAUUUGUUAUUAUUGGGCCAAAUGGAAAGAUUCUAGCACAACUAGCAGGUGAAGGCCAUAGAAAGGUAUUUGCCAGUAUCUUUACAUUAUGCUUGUGACCUUUCUUUCCAUUGCUAGAUCAGCAUCUCAAUUUUUAUGCUAAGAGUUAAUUGUAUUGUUGUUAUUAGUGUAAGCUUUUCAUUAUUCUGUUGAUAAUUUGCUGAACACAAUCUCAGAUUAUUUGGUUAAAUUGUGUUCUUUUCAGUGGGUAACAUAUAUUGUCUUAUGCAUAUCUUCAGGAUCUUGAUGAUUUUGUGGAUGCAUCUCUUCAGUUCUAUGGAGAAAAGAACCCAUUGGAAAACAAUCCCAUUCCCUUGGCUUUAGAGAAGGAUAAUGAUGGCCGUCUAAUAACAUCUCCAUUAAAAUUCCCUGGGAAGCUUGCAAUUGAUGCGCAAAAUAAUAGGCUUUUCAUAUCAGACAGUAACCAUAAUCGAAUUGUAAGUGUUCUUGGCCUUUUCUUUUCUUGUUUAAAGUUUAGCCUUUUUGCCUAGUGAUAAACUAACUAUUAUGGCUAACUUAAUACUAUUUCACUGCAUCCCUGUUUUUGGAAUUUAAGGUGGUUGCAGAUUUGGAAGGAACUUUUAUUACUCAAAUAGGAAGUACUGGAGAAGAAGGAUUAAAUGAUGGUACCUUUGAUAGUGCCUCCUUUAAUCGUCCUCAGGUAAGGUUCAGACUUCUACAUUUUGCCUUAUGUGAUCCUUUGCUCAUUUUUGGUAGUAAUAAGGCACAAGAAAGGAGUUAGGAGGUAAUAAAAUAAUGUCGAGCUACAAAUAAGACAACAUAUUCUAUCGAAAGCACGAAUGCAAGUAUGCAACAUAUUGAUAUUGGAUCCAUAGGAGAGGUCAUAAUGUGCUUCACCACCAUUGGGAUAAUAGACCAUAUGAACUUCUUUUAAGGCUUUGCACCUUCUUUAUUUUCUUUUGGCUUCUGGCUUACUUUUUCAAUUUCAAUGAAGUUUUUCCUUUUAAGGGGUUGAAAUGUGAUAGAUCUUAUGUUACAGGAUUUCUGUAGGAUAAAUUUUCGCUUAUUUGAAUUACAUUUGACAAUUAAUUUUUCAUAAAGAGAAAUUCGUGCGGCUUAUUACAAGUUUGUAGUGAAAGCUAUACAAGGCCUUUGGCUUGGUGCAAAUUAUGCCGAGAAAAAUUAAAGUUUCAUUGCCUUCUCCUGGACCUAGUGCUGGAACUCUGGAAGUAUUUUGUAUUAUUAAUCUUCUUCUCCUUCUUUGUAAGUAAUAUUUCUUGAGCCCACACAUAACAAUAUUUUUGUGUCAAGGAAAUCUUUCUGGUUUCUGGUUCAAAAUAAUUAUUCUAUAAGAUGGAUUGCAGUUCUAAGAAAAUGUUUGUCUGGUAUCUUUUGUUUGUUAGCUUGUUCUCUUAAUGACGGAGCCUCUUCCUUUUCUUGUAAAUAUUGUGAAUAAUUAUAAAUCUAUACUUAUAUCUUCUAACAGCAAAUUCAUUUUCCAGGGUCUUGCGUAUAACCCCAAAAAGAAUCUUUUGUAUGUUGCGGACACUGAAAAUCAUGCUUUGCGGUAAACCUUCUUUUAAUUAAUACUUUACUUUCCUGAGUUCUACCUUUCAUUUUUGUGCAAACAAAUAAAGAACUUUUAUUUUUGUUGACUGUACAAACAAACGGAAACUAGUAUGAGCUAUACAGGAAUAAAGCAGUAAUCAAUGAUUUUAUUUUUUUCUAUUCUAGUGUUGAUUCCAUUUGAGUUGUUGUUUCUUCACUUUUGUAGGGAGAUUGAUUUUGUCAAUGAGACUGUACGAACACUGGCUGGAAAUGGAACAAAAGGUUCUGACUACAAAGGAGGAGGACGAGGAACUGCUCAGGCACGGUUUCACAUCAGAGAAAAAAAAAUCCUCUCCAUUUCUCAUCUGUUUCAUUAAGAGUAACUGUUUGUAGUCUCUUACAUGAAUUAAGUUACUCUAGUCAAAUGGUUAGCAUCACGCGCACGUUCAUUUAUUGCAUGCCCAUUGUAUUUGGACAGUUGAAUGUCUGCAUAGUACUAUCAUCUGCAGUUGGUGGUUCAUAUAUAUUAAGAUUUGAAAACACCAUUGUAGUCCAUGUAGCUUGUCAAUUUUGGCCAUUUCGACUGCUUAUCUUUAGGUCUUAUUUGACUGCCAGAACAAGUUAUACACUGAUAGUUUGUGUUGGUUUAGAUUUUAUUCUAUAAUUGUAUUAUUCUAAUAUAUUACACCUAUGAGAUGGCGGUUUAUCAUAACCAAAAAAUGAGGAUGCUCGAUCCUUACUCUUGUAGAUUUCUUCUUGUGCUAAUCAACAACUAUCAUAUAAUUCUUAUGCAAGAGAUAUACUGGAUUAGGUAUUCAAGCUUCCAAAUGUUCUUAUAGAGCUGCAUAAAGCUGCUGUUCCAAUUUUGUAAUAAUGCCUAUACUGCCUAUUCUGAUUGUAUUAAUUAUAUUAUCUUAUUUUCGUUAACACACUGUUGUAAAAGCACUGCUUUUGUUUGAACUUCCAUUUGUUGACUAGAUACUUUUGUUUGAAUAGGUCUUAAAUUCACCAUGGGAUGUCUGCUAUGAGCCCUCAAACGCGAUCAUUUACAUUGCAAUGGCUGGGCAGCAUCAAAUCUGGGAGCACAAUACAUUAGAUGGAGUUACUAGAGCUUUUAGUGGCGAUGGUUAUGAAAGAAAUCUGAAUGGUUCAAGGUAGAUAGCAUUUAACUCAUCAAGGCUGAAGUGAUUUGAACUAGGCCUACUUAAGUAAAAUGCUUUCACAUUAUCAAUUCUUUAUUUUUCACACUGCUGAAACAUAUACUUUUUACAGUAAAAAACACAUGCUUUUAAUGAUGAUCUUAUUGAUUGUCAGCUCUGCAUCAUGAAGUUAACUGUACAUUUGUUCGCUAUUAUCAGAGAAGAAUUGUGAAAGAAUUUGUGAGUCGCUUGUGUGUAAAACUCCUGUGCAUACGUGACUGAUCUUUUGCCAUUACAUUAAGUGAUUAGACUCAAGCUGUAAACGAGUUAGGUUUUAGAGAUUAUCCUCAAUGUCAAGGAAUUCUGCACAACAUCUUUUAAA
RNAcentral lists this long non-coding RNA (56506 nucleotides) under Ananas comosus (pineapple). RNAcentral's name for it is "long non-coding RNA (ACOM_LNC027316)". The record is from RNAcentral. Lineage: Eukaryota; Viridiplantae; Streptophyta; Magnoliopsida; Poales; Bromeliaceae.